RNAcentral lists this long non-coding RNA (51591 nucleotides) under Sorghum bicolor (sorghum). RNAcentral's name for it is "long non-coding RNA (SBIC_LNC011567)". The record is from RNAcentral. Lineage: Eukaryota; Viridiplantae; Streptophyta; Magnoliopsida; Poales; Poaceae.
CGUUUGUAACCUCUUCCGCAAACUUGAGUGCUUGAGCCCAAAAAUAUGAUCCAUCACAACUGACUGGAGCUAGAGCCAGGCCAAACAAGCCCUAUGUAUAGAAAAUGUGAUGGUAAGUCCUAGUACUUCUCAAGCUAGCAGGACAAUAAAAACAAUAAAAGAAAUAAAAUACAAUUCACAUUUCAUCUAGAAGCAAAGUGAACACAUAGCAAGUCUUCUCUUAUAGGUCAUGAUUUGCCUUCAUAUUAUUCUUGGAUACACCAGGUAGCCACUCGAAGAACACUUGGAGAUACAAGCUUAGGCUGCGAUGGGGAGUGCUCCUCGCGCUUGUAAACGGAUGUUUUCCACAAUCUCUUCUUAUUAUUAAUCAAAGCCGGUAACGUUCGGAUCUUUCAAAAAAAAACACGAGCAUAAUAGUAUUGGAGAUAAAUUAUAUAUCUAUGUAUUUACAGUGCCAGACAAUAUAUGAUCACAGAGGACAGAACAUAAAGAGAGAUAGGUAUAUAGAGGAUGAAAAAACAAAUCUCUUCAGCUUCCCUUGUUGGUAGAAUAUAUGUUAUAGAGACAGAGUACUGCAUCUUUUGGCGCUGUCAACUAGGCCUUUUUGUCAAGCCAUGCAUGCAUCACCUUGCAAAGUGCCCUCGAGGAAAACAUGGUGCCCUUUUCCGCUGCUGUAUUUUUCAUGGCCACCUUCCAUAGUUCCAUCCAUCAUAGAGCAUAUAUAUAAGUAUAUACUUAUAUAUAUAUAUAUAAUCUGAUUCGUCAGAUAGCACUUUCUCGUUUUGUCAUAAAAAGCACGUCUGUUUUCUUCUGAUUGGAAGGUACAGCCGGAAAACAUAAAGAAAGGGUGCAAAUUAAAGAAAAUCAGAGAUGAGCGAAGCGCGCGAGGGACAAAAGGAAACAAAAGGGCCGCCGGCUUCUGCUGCUAGCUAGGCAGUCGUCUUCCUUGCAGACGUCCGGUGAGAAGACGUCGUGGAUCGUCGCAUAAAUGCCGAUGAGUACACACAUUGUAUAUAUGACUCAACAGCUGACCUAACGUCCACUGUACAGCUAGAUCUACUAUAGCCUGAUCGACCUGAUUCCUCUUACUCAAACAUAUGCAGCUGGCAGGGUGCAUACUAUGAACCUACUAUAUCUCGUCUACUUUAUCUGCCUUCAAAAUACUCCUGCUUUUAUUUCUAACUUUGGAAAGAGAUUCUGCUGCAUGUCUCCUCUAGCUAUAUCUCGUUAUUUACUAUAUGAUUCAUGGGGAUAUUUACCACAAUGUUAUAGUAAAUCUUACUUAGGAGAGAGUUACAUGAAUCUCGUAAAUUAGUACACGGUAGUUAUCGUAACCAAAGUGGUCAUAGAAUAAGUUAUUCCAUGACCAACUACAAAACAAUACUUAUAUAUAUAAAAACAUAAACAAAUACCAUGAAUGUGCUCAGGGACGGGGAUUAUAUAUAUCUGAGCUCAGCUGUUCACAUUGUACGUGGACGACACUGUGCAUGUGGCCGACUACACACCUUUAUCAAGAUCUCAAUGUCACGUACUACAGGCCUAUAGUAUAGAAUGGGCGCCAUGUGUACCAUGUCCACUGCAUGUCGUCUUAGCUUGUUGGCGUCGUCGACGUUAUUAUGAAUCCAUCUACUUAGAAAUUAAUUAAGACAAAGCAUGCAUGAAAGCUACGGAGUUAGGUGAGGCAGCGAGAGAAAAUUAAAGCUACCGUGUGACAAGAUGUGUUCUCGCUCUCUAGUCUCUACUUUUACUAUUUUACUUUUCACCUGAUCGAUUGAAAUCACGAUCGAAAGUUACCUGACAUGUGCAUCAUUUUUCCCCUUGGUUUUUACUACCGGCACAUGAUUCUCAUGACAAUGAUCUCCCAACGGCAUAUUAUGCCGCUAACCUUUUUUUUUCACUCACGCACGCACGGCUCGGGCUUUCAUUAGCUUCUUCAUUUCACAUGAAAAAGCCAAAGCCAGUGCAAAUAAAGCAUAUUCUGAAUCGACUAGGUCAGAUCGUUUUCGAAGAAGUAGAAGCUGGAAAUGAACAAAUCAAUAAAAGAUGCAUGUAUAUGCGGCCAUCUUGUCUCGGCUUCUCCGGUAAGCUGGAUUCUUGACGAGGCACAGCUACCAAAUGAAGGGACCCAUGCAUGUUGCCGUCACCCACACACUUAACAUAAUGUUUUUCUCUAAUGAAUGAAGUAAACAACACACAUACACACACAACAUCUAUGUCUGAUGAUAUAUGAUAAAGGUUUACAAGUUAUAUGAAGGUAGCAUGUGGUGGUUAAAAAAAGGGAGAAGUCUAGUAUGGUGGAUAGAUGCUUUGGGUCUGAUCAACCAUGAUUAGAUGUUGGGCCAUGCAUGGCAGACACAACUUGGUCCUCUGCCCAUGGGCUUUUGCCCUAAGACGUUGAGCCUAAUAAUGGACUCUUCUGUGGUCCUUACUCCCCUAUACGGUUGACUCGCUUGCUCAAUAAUGCACUAGCACUAACUCUAUAUAGUUUUCUCAAAAAAAUGCCUAGUACUCUUGAUAGUUUCUACCGAGACGACGUACUCCAUCCAUCCAAAAUAAAAUUUCUAGCUAGAGUUUUCCUAAUAUUAUUUUUAAAUUUGACUAAAUUUAUUUGAAAGUGAGCCAAUAUUUCAUAAUUUACUUAUUUGGUGUCAUAAAUGUUAUUGUUCUUUACUAAAGUUGGUUAAACUCAAGACAUUUUGGCUUACGAUGAUUCUAGAAAGUUAAUUUAUUUCCAGAUAGAGGAAGUAUAUAUAUAUUCCUUCCACAGCAUCCUUCUAUCCCACUCCAUAUAUAUAUUACUUGCGGUUUUAACCUUAGGCAUAUAUGAUAAAGAUAAUUACCAUCCUAUUAUAUUCUUUGUUAAUCCUCCCUAAAGUGCGUGUUACGAUGUCAAUUCAAAACACACACCCGUGUUACGAUGUCAAUUCAAAACACACACCCGUUACCCUGCCAUAUGUACUAGGUAAGGCCAUGCCCAACGCUCCAACCUGGAGUGCUGCCCCAACUUACACCUAUGCAACUGAUGUCCAAAUCAUUACUAGUGUUAGCUUCAAAUAGUGUCAGAUUCUCAUGCAGAGGAAGUAUUGGCUUGCUCUGACAAAAAUUUGAAGCAGCACCAUAUCUUGCGUUGUGGCAUGGAAGAGCACAUAAAAAGCUGAGAAACUCUGGCCAAAAGCUGAGCUAGUGCUGAACCAUAGCAGAGGCAAGAUGUUGCUUGCGUUGAGAGAGUAUUAGCCCCAACUCAUUUCAGGACUAGGUGGAGCGCAACUUUAUGGUAACCAAGGAGUUAAGCAGAGGUAAGACUGAAAAAAAGUAGGUCAAAUAAAGUUGCCCCGAGGUUGUGAAACAAGAAUUUUCACUAAUAGUACUAAGAUUAAACAAAUGGAGGACAGAAGUAGCUUCGUAUGGUAUUUGACUAAAGGAUUUGGGUUUUCAUCGCGACCGUGUGUUGGCUGCCAAAAAUUAAGCAAGAAAAUCAUAACCGGUCAUACAUAUUACAGACUUGAAUUACUAGUUACUUACUAUGAAGGGACCCAUGCAAGCACAUGGCCCCUCAUUUCUCAGAUCUUUUGAGCAAGCACUAAUAAAUCCGACCACUUGUUUGCUAACAAAAAUAACUAAUUGGGUAAUUAUGCUUUUAGUUAACAAACCUUUGUCUUCAAGCACUGCAUGCCACUGGUGCAUAUACUCACUAAGUCACGGUCCAACAGUUGGAGACUGGCACAUCACUAGCUUAGCAACUAGCUAGCAGUUUGGUGGGAUGUUCUAGCCAAAUUAUAUCUGUAGGUUUCAUGGUUUCCCCAUCAAAUAUACAUAUAUGCAGAUUAUAUAUGAUAUUAAUUUAGCCUGAUGCAUGAUGGUUCUUUACUAUGGUAAGAAAUCGGUUAUUCCAGUAUCAGGAAGGAAGUUCUAGCACUACUACAGAUAUUUCAUCGCCGCUAUUUUCAUAAGUUAGAGAUGAUAGUGAGUGGUGAUGUGAAUCGGCACCAUCAUCGGUUUGGAAGAGAGGCGUUGGAAACAAAAAAAAAAGCAUAGCCGCAGCUGCUACCGCACAAAGUGAACUAUACGUUGUUCAUAAAUAGAUACAUCUCCCACAUAGUUUCAUGAAAGUUAUAUGAGAGAUGUGUCAUUUGUGAACAAUGUAUGACACCCCAUCUUAAAAGCAUCUCAAAUUUUUAUUGGGACAUUAUAUACCAAAGACAUGUUUUCAUUCAAAUUUGUAGGAUUUUGAAUUAUUAGAAUUAUUUUAUGUUAAUUUGGAUAUAGAAGGAUGAAUUAUCUAUAGCAAACAAAUGUGUUUUCCCAUCCAUCUCUCGAUAUGACCUAGAUUGAAACAUAUAAGCAUAAAUAUAAAUUUUAUAAUUUUCUUGGAAUCUUAUUGGAGACAUCUACUAUUUAAUUUGGAAUUACUUUCGAUAAGUUUGCAAAAAUUCAUUUAAACUAUAGAAUAUAUUAAAACAGUUCUAAUAAAAUUCUUAAAACUUCUACAGAACAAUAUGUGUUAGCCUGUUUUAUGUACAAAAAGUUUGGAGCAUGAAAGAUAUAUCUUAAAGUUUGUUUCCCAAGGUGCUUUCUCUAAUACAUGAAUGAAAAAGAAUAUAUGCAAAAGAACAAAGAAAUAAUAAUUUAGUACCAAACCAAUGUUGUUAAUUGGUAAUUCAGGAUUUUAGAGAAAACUAGGAGAAAUAAACAUAUCAUUUGGAGUUAGCAAGAGGCAAAAAGGCUAGUUAGAAAAUUUCAUCAUGCAUCAAAAAGAGAAAAACUUGUGUUCAUGUAAUUACCCUGACAGUUUAUUUAAUAACCAUAAAAAAUACAAAACCAUCAAGGUAAUUCAAUUUACCCUGACGGUUUAUGCCAUUUUAUUUCUUAAGGGCUAUGCGCACUCUCAAAGUUAAUUACGAAUUAACCUGGCGGUUUUUUAGUUUUUCUGUGUUUUCUAAAAAACCGUCAAGGUAACUCUAUUUACUCCUACGGUUACUUAAUUUUCCUGUGUGUUUUUGAGGAACUGUCAUGGUAAAUUUAUUUACCCUGACGGUUUCUACAAUAACCGUCAAGGUAUUUGAAAUCGCAGGGAAUUUCAAGUUUCCAUAGUAGAGGCGUUGGAAGAAAAAAAAGCAUAGCCGCAGCUGCUACCGCACGUCUGCGCCCGCUGCCAUCCACACUUGUGGCCCAUCCAUGCCAUUGGUUGUGCUUAUCCACACUGUCACCAGAUGUCCAUAUUGCUAAUAAGUAGCCUCGACAUAGAUUUAGCCACACCUGCACCGCCACACCUCGCCAGUGCCACCAUGGUGCCGCACCUUGUCCUAGGGAUGCGCCACACCGGCUCUGAUCUGCCUCUCUUGUUGGUCGUGGAGGAGCAAGGACCGGCCCAGAUCUAUAGCACCCGAGGAACGGCAGGGCAGGAGUAGGAGCAAGUGGCGGUGGCUGUACAAGAGGAGGAUGGAUGCGGGCAGGGGCAAGGGGUGAGGAGAUAGAGGGGACAGUUAGGUGUAGAAUAUUAUUCUACACCAAACUGUUAUACUGAGCAAAAUUCAGUAUCACUCAGUAUUCGUGUUUCAGUAUACGGUAGCGCUAUUUUAGACCCUAGGUGUAGAAUAAUAUUCUACACCAUAAGCCAAAACUAAGUAGAAAAAAUAGUGAGCAGUACUGAACAACGUUCAGUAUCAUACAGCCGUACACUCAGGACCACAAACUACUGAACAAUACUGAAAUACGAGUACUGAACAAUACUGAAUUCUGUUCAGUAUAACUGUUUGGUGUAGAAUAGAAUAGCACUUGUAUAUAUUCUACACCAAACAGUUAUACUGAACAUAAUUCAGUAUUAUUCAGUACUCGUGUUUCAGUAUUGUUCAGUAUUUCGUGGUCCUAGGUAUACAAUUGGAUGAUAUAUAUAUAUAUAUAUAUAUAUAUAUAUAUAUAUAUAUAUGGGCUCGAUUUUCACUAUCAGUUUGUGGUUUGAAGAGGUGGUGAAAACUGCCUUGGUUUUCACGGCCGUGAAAAUUAUUUUUACUAUCAGUUUGUAAUGAAAACCGAUGGUGAAAAUAUAUCAUCAUCAGUUUUAAUUAAUAGAAUCGGCUGUGAAAAUUGCGUUGGCAUAUUUUGUGUUGGAUGAUGAAAUGAGCUGUGGGCCCCCAAAUACAGGCGCUUUGCAUAUAUGCAGCCAGUGGUGCGUGGAUGCAUUAUAUAUAUUGUUUUUAAGAAAAUUCCAAAACAUAUAUGCAGCUACUGGUGCAUGCAUGCACAAAGACUCCUGGUGAGAGAAAGGGAUGUGUAUAUAUAUAUAUAUAUAUAUAUAUAUAUAUAUAUAUAUAUAUAUAUAUAUAUAUAUAUAUAUAUAUAUAUGUAUAUAUAUAUAAUAUAUAGGGGACAAUUUAUCCAUUCUACUCAACCCUUGCAUCCAUGAUUCGUUGAUUCUAUGAACAAGGAGCCAAAUGCACCUAUGUUCCUAUAUAUGAUUGUCAUUGAUCUAAGUUCCAUGCAUGAACACGUCAGGAGAAUUAUCACUGCUGCAUGAUCGGGCAUUAGCACCGGUCGGGAAGGGCCUGUUGCCCCGGUUCCCGAGCCGGUGCUGCCCUUCCGGGACUAAAGGCCCACCCUUUAGUCCCGGUUCGGCCAACCGGUGCUAAAGGCCCCCCCUUUAACACCGGUUGUAACACCAACCGGGUUAAAGGGUCCUGCCAGGGCUGCCACGUUGCAGGACCCUUUAACACCGGUUGGUGUUACCAACCGGUGUUAAAGGGUUUCUUUUUCUUUUUUUUUAGUUCACUUCUUCGGUUCUGUUUAUUGUUUAUAUAUAAUAUAUAAUAAUAGGUUUUUCAAUACAUGUUUUGCUGAUACAAUAAUAUAUUUAUAUUACACGCAUAUUAAGCAUAUAUAAAUGAAAAUUAUAGGCUAAGCUUAAUAGUUAAGCUUUGCCUAUAAUAAAAUGAAUAGACCACAUCAAAAAUUAAAUAGAUAUGUAAAAAGCUUUAUAUAUAUAUAGUUUUAUAUGUACAAAAUUCGUAACACAUAUAUACAUAGAGUUUGUUCUCCCAAUGUCUACAAACGAUACAAAUGAUCAUCGUUGUUUGGUAUAAGAGUUUCGUUGCCGUUGAAGUGAAACUCGCCGUUUGGAUUGAUCACUUGGUCGCGGAGAAAUCCUGCUAUCGUCUCUUGGAUAGCUUUGAUUCGGUCUUGUUGUAGGACCUUUUCCCUCAGCCAUUCCGUCUUUAAUUUGAAAUAAAUAAAAAAGGUAUUAGUUAUCUAAGUUAUUCAAUAUAAUUCAGGAGAUAAUGAAAAGAGACAUGUAACGUACUCUGAGCGUCUCUGUGGGUGUUUGAUUGACUUGUGCCAUCAUGAAUUUGCACACGUAAUAUGCACAUAGAUUGUUCCCUCCUUCUUGUCUUAAACACCACUGUACGAUGUAUAUAUAUAUAAAAAUAUUCAUAACCACGACAAUAAGAAGGCUAAAAGUUAGCGAAAGUUUGUUAGCUAGUAGAACUUACUUGUGGAUGUAUUAUGUUAAGCGGCGCUUUACAUCCACUGAGAUGUUCACGGUCAAUGAAUCUUUCCCAAACCCUAUACACAGCCAUUGUGGAUCGUGAACUAAUAAUUACAGAGUCAUAUUAUGAUAUUUUUGUAGCUGAAAUCGACAUUACGUACCUUUGAAUAAUGUUUACCAUUUGUUGAUAAUUUUCUUGUGGUUUUCUCAUUGAGUCAAAGAUUAUCAAUCGGUUCUUGGGAAUUUCAAUGACCAUGAGUAUCCAGUGAAAGCUGUUUACACACACAUAUAUAGGGUCAGUCCUAUAAUGUAAAAUAAAAUAUGCAUGCACUUAAUAACUAUAUAACUCACUCGAAGUUGAAGGGGAAGAGUAUUUUUUGUUUUUCUUUUUGGUUUACAAAGAACCUCAUAAGAUUGGUGCAGAUUUCUGUCUCAUAAUCUGCUGUCCACACUGCCUGCGGAGCCUUGAAAACAAUAUAAGGGUCAACGAACCCAAUACUAUUGUCAUUUCUCAUUCUGAGCUCUCUCAUUUGGUGCCUGCAUAUAUACAUACAAAUCCUAAGUGUGUAAGGAUUAUAUACAUGUAAUUAAAGAAGUUAGAAGUAUAAUAAAAAGAAAAAAUACUUACAGACAAAAGCAGCUGACAAGAGAUUUGUCAAGAGCGUCGAGGUGGCAUAAUUGGUGCAAUUCUUCGAACUGCACGUAUAUGAGGUCAUCUCCACGGAAGUAGUGAUGUUGUCUAAUACGAACAGAAAUCCAAUUCUCUCCCCUUUUAGACGCCUCAAUGCACCAUUUGUUUAUUGCAAACAUUUGUGUGCCGAGCUCGUGUAAACGCUUAGGGUCGAAUAGACUCCUGCCCGGUUCAUAUCUUGCCCUCCAUUGAUCAACUACCUCGGCUUUUUCAAAUGUAUGACAUCCAAGAAUGGCGGUAAUUUCUUCUAUAUUUAAACCGCUCUGUCCAAAGUAACUCUCAAGCGAGUCUAGCUCAGACAACGCUAAGGAUUUCUUUGGCAUCAAGUCUUCAUUUGAGCCGUAUUGAUUUGGCACAAUCAAAGGGGGCACCGGUUUUGAUACUUCUCCGAGCUGUGGGACCCCCUUUCCUACUCUCUUCUUAGUAGGCUGUGAAGACUUGACCAGAGACCGCUCAUAGUCCGAAAGUGCUGGCUUUUUCUGAGCUUCGCGUUGCUUCUUUUGAUGGUCCGCCACCUUCUGCCUCAGUUCCGAUGGCUUCACAUAAAAGUACGGCUUUUCUGGGUUAAGCCGUUUUUUCCUUUCCUCCUUUAUUUUAUCAAAAAAUUGUUGGACCUCAGCUUUAGAUGUAGCAAUUACCUCCUCUUCACUCUUUUCGUAAGGUAAUUUUUCUGGCGUCUUAGCUCUCUUUGCUGAGGCAGCCUUCUUUGGAGGUGGGACCGAUGACUUCGGUCCUUCUUGGACGGACCGCUUCUUACUACCUCGCUUUGGAGGCGAGGGGACCGACCGUGCACUCUUUGGAGAGGGCGGUGCAGGCGGAGGAGUUGGAGAACGCGGUGGAGGAGUUGGAGACCUCGGUGGAGGAGGUGGAGACCGUGGUGGAGGCGGUGGCGGGGUCGGUGUGGCCGCCGCAGGUGUUGGAGGAGAUCCAGCAUUGUCACCGCCCGCAGCACUAUGAUGCGCUGGGGAGAGAACUGGACUUAGGUUGGAGGAGUCCCUGCAAAGAAAACAAUUACAAGUUUUGUGAGUAAACUUUUUUUAAAUUUCAAUACAUAAUAAAUAAUAUAAGAAGUAAAAUCACACACAAACCUAUGCUGAGGAAUAAUUAUGAAGCGCUUGCGCCAACAAAUAAAUGUCUUCUCAGCUUCACCUAAGGUCUUCUCUCCGUCUCCCCCUUCUAUGUCUAGUGGCACAUUGCCACAACCUUUCUCAACCCUAUCAACCGAGACGCUAGCAUAUCCACCAGGUACUGGUCGAUUAUGGAUUCUUGGAGUGCCCGUUCGGUCGAUAGGGUUGACAACAGCGAUAGCCACCUUUUUGGUGGCAUUCCCAUCUGGUACAUGCAGCUCACAGGUAGUAAAAGCCUCUGUGACAUCAUCCACGGGGAAGUGUAGCUUCGUGUCAUCCUGAAUGGUUGGUACUUCCGUGGAUGCGCAGCUGCUUUUCAACUGGCCUGGGGGGCUAACAUUGACCUCGGGCUGUGAUGUACCUUGCCCUUUCGUCAUUUGACUAAGUGCUGCUUGCACUUGCCUUUGAAUCUCUGCCUGCAUCCAUUCUUCACGAGCUUUCUCGCGCUCUUGUGACUGCAGAACAAAAGCUUCCAGGCGGCGGAUCCGCUCUGCCUCCUCAUCCUUCUUUCUCUGGCGGCUUCUGUAGGUAUCUUGAUCGGCUUGGAAUGAUUGCAGCCACGGAACUGCCCCAUAGCCUCUCGUACGCCCACCGUGCUCAGGAUUUUCAAGCGCAUAGGUGAGUUCAUCCUUCUCCCUGUUAGGCCUGAACUCACCAGACUGAACCGCCUCACGUGCACGGACUAGUCUCUCUGCUGCUCUUGAGAUUUCUUGGCCCCAAACUAGCGCCCCGGUGUCUGGGUCCACGCUUCCCCCAUGACCGUAGAACCAAUGCUUGGAGCGCUCGCUCCAAUUCUUUGCUAUUGUCUCGGGUGUGACCCCCCUAGCAAGCAUCUCCUGUUCCAUUCGGUCCCACUUGGGAGCAGCACUCUUAUAACCACCUGAUCCCAUAUGAUGGUGGUAUGCCUUUUUACUGGCAUUUUCUUUGUUUCUAUUGGCUCGUUCCUCGCCCUCUUCUGAUGUUUUGUACUGCACAAAGUCAUCCCAGAAGGCCCUCAGCUUUACAUAUUGCUUGAGGUUGAAAUCUGGAGUCUCGUUUUUCUUGACAUAUUUAUUGUACAAAGACUUCUUCCAAUUCUGGAAGAGUACUGCCAUCUUCUUCAUAGUCCAGUCAUAAAUUCGCACCUUCAACUCUUCAUCGUUGGUGUCGAAGGUGAAAACGUCUGUGACGGCUUUCCAAACUAACUCCUUGUCACGAUCAGAGACAAAACUGAUCUCAGGAGCACCUCGCUUCUCUCUCCAUUCACGACAACUGAUCGGUAUUUGAUCUCUCACAAGAUAUCCACAGUGAUUAACAUAUUUAUUUGCAUGCUCACCAAGUGGUCUGCCUGUAGCUAUCUCAAACUCAGAGAUUACAUAGCGGCCCUCCAACGGCUUCUUUGGUCCUCGUGGAGGUACGCUUCUCCCCGUAGAGGUCGAUCCAGAAGGCUACACGUACAUAUAGAAACAAAAAUACUAAAUUAAUAACCAAGUAAUAAGUCUAAAACCUAAUGUAAGAGAUGCAUUAUUUAUAUAUGUUUACAUUUACAUACCUCGCCAGUAUUUUCUUCUUGUUGCACGACAAGUUGUUGUUCAGGGGCAUUGCCCUCUUGUUGCUCAGGGGCAUUGCCCUCUUGUUGCUCAGUACGAUUGCCUUGCAUGAUGUCGUGGUAAUCAACGAAGUACUGACUACCGUCGUCGAUUAUAUUUUGAAUGGCAGCUUCCAUAUAAUCAGGAUCAUCAUGAGGAUGGUCAGCCAUUUCUAUGUCUGCAACCAUACAUAUAUAUAUAUUCUAUAUAAGAUAAGAAAUACACUAAUACUACUACAAAUGAAAGUGUUGGAGUGCUCUAAAAAUAAUACUAGGAUCUUUUAAGCCAAGUAAUACAUUAAUAAAAAAAAGUAGAAUAAUAUAUAGUACAAACAAAAAUAUAUACAAAACCCUACUAGAAUAAAUUUAGUGGCUAAACACUACUAGAACAUAUAUUAGAGACUUAUAUACUACUACUAGUACUACUACAAAUUAAAGUGUUGGAGUGCUCUAAAAAUAAUACUAGAAUCUUUUAAGCCAAGUAAUACACUAGAAUAAAAACAAUACUAGAAUAAUAUAGUACAAACAAUAAUAUUUACAAAACACUAGAAAAUAAAAUAUGAUACAAGAAUAAUAUACAACAAAUAUAUACUAAAAAAACUACUACAAAUAAUAUAUUAAAAAAAUAAUACAUUCAUACAUACAAACUAUAUAUAUGUGUGUGUAUAUAUGUACAAAAAAUAAUACAUAUAUACAAAAAAUAAAACAUACAUACAUACUAUAUAUAUACUACAAAUAAUAUAUUAAAAAAAUAAUACAUACAUACAUACAUACAUACAAACAAUUAUAAUUCAUACAUACAAACUAUAUAUAUGUGUGUGUAUAUAUAUGUACAAAAAAUAAUAUACAUACAUACAAAAAAUAAUACAUAUAUACAAAAAAUAAAACAUACAUACAUACUAUAUAUAUAUACUAGAAUAAUAUAUUAAAAAAAUAAUACAUACAUACAAACAAUUAUAAUUCAUACAUACAAACUAUAUAUAUGUGUGUAUAUAUGUACAAAAAAAAUAUACAUACAUACAAAAAAUAUUACAUAUAUAUAUAUAUACAUAAAAAUAUAUACAAAAAAUAAUACAACAAAUCAAAACACCAUAUAUACAUAAAAAUAUAUAAAUGUAUAUAUAUGUAUAUGGUGUUUUGAUUUGUAGUAUUAAUUUAUGUAUAUACAUAAAAAUAUAUACAAAAAAUAAUACAACAAAUCAAAACACCAUAUAUACAUAAAAAUACAUAAAAAUAUAUAUAUGUAUAUGGUGUUUUGAUUUGUAGUAUUAAUUUAUGUAUAUAUAUGUAAUAUUUUUUGUAUAUAUAUUUCUGGUCUAGCUAGUCUAUAUAAAUACAUAAUUAAUCAAUGGCGUUCUCGAUCUAUACUUAGCAAGGCCGGCCGGAGCUAGAGAUCAGGGAAGAUCGACGUGGCCUGGAUGAUGUGUGGCCCGCGCGCUCGAUCUGGCCGUGGCCCGCGGCGGCGGCGUUGGAGGAGGGCCGCGGCGGCGCUGGUGGAGAGCCGCGGCGGCGCUGGUGGAGAUGGUGGUCGCGGCGGCGAGGGAGUCGAGAACGAAACGACGGCGGCGAGAACGAAACGACCGCGGCGGCGCUGGAACGAAGACGAAGACGAAAGAACUGCCGGAUCCAGGAAGCCGGCUGCUUAUAUAGGGGCGGACCCUUUAGCACCGGUUCCAGCCACGGACCGGUGCUAAAGGGUCCAGCGCGCGCUAGGGCGGGCUCCUGAAAUUUUCAGGACCCUUUAGCACCGGUUCCCACUAUGGGCCGGUGCUAAAGGCCCAUUUUUUUAGUUUAGGGUUUUUUAAUUGUUUUAUAUAUACAGUUUAUAUUAUAAAUUGUAUAGUAAAUUAAAUAUUUUGCAUAAUGUUUUUUAAACAGUGACAUAUAUUGUAAUUUGUUUUAAUAUACACAUGAAAACUUUUAAACUUAAAUAUCUUAUUGUAUUUUUAUAAUUUGCAAUGAUUUUGUAAGAAUUGUUUAGUAUUUUGUUAAUGCAAAAAUAUAUUAUUCCAAUAAAUUUACAAAAACUAUAUCCAAUGAACUGGAAAUUUAUUUUCACAUCAUAUUGACGUAAAACUUUUUAUUUUUGUUAUUUAUUACUAGGAAUGCUAGUUGGGUAUAAUUUUCAUCAAAUAAAAAAUAUAAAAAUAUAUAUCUUGAUGAACACACCCUUUGACCGAACCCUAGAUUGUCCCAAAUGGAAAAGUCAUGAAUACAAAGUUUGCUACACUCAUCAAGUUCUACAUUUUGUCUAAUGGUCAACUUUUCAUUUGGAAAAGUUUGAACCACUGAAUUUUGAAUUUUCAUAGAACUCAUAGCCACGCAGCGGUUUCGGAACCCUAGAUGGUCUCGAAUGGAAAAGUCAUGAAUACCAAUAUUGUUCCACUCAUCAAAAUCUACAUUUCAUAUACAGACCAUUUUUGCAUUUGACAAAGUUUUGGGAAGGUGUAGUUGAAAAUCCACAAUUGACACAUAUAGUUUCAUAUAGUUUGUGUGAGAUUCAAGAAUUGGUGGGUAUUGUUAACUUAGACUUUCUCAAAUGGAAAAGUUGUGUAUAUAAAAAGUUUAGAUCUUGAAGAUAUCUAACAACUUGGUAUUCAAAAUAUUUUCAUUUGAAGUAAUUUAGUUUGUCAUUUGACCAAAUUUGACCAAAACCCGUCUUGGAUUUUAUAGAAAUGUAAUUAGGAUUGGCUCAAAAUUAUCCAAAUGGAAAAAUGGACAAUAUAUAAAAUAUAGAUCUUGAUGAUCUCUAACAACUUUGUAUUCAAACUUUUUUCAUUUCAAGUCAUCAAAUGGGUUAUUUGACCAAGUUUGACCAAAGUCAAAGCAUUGGUUUUUACAAACACACCCUUUGACCGAACCCUAGAUUGUCCCAAAUGGAAAAGUCAUGAAUACAAAGUUUGCUACACUCAUCAAGUUCUACAUUUUGUCUAAUGGUCAACUUUUCAUUUGGAAAAGUUUGAACCACUGAAUUUUGAAUUUUCAUAGAACUCAUAGCCACGCAGCGGUUUCGGAACCCUAGAUGGUCUCGAAUGGAAAAGUCAUGAAUACCAAUAUUGUUCCACUCAUCAAAAUCUACAUUUCAUAUACAGAUCAUUUUUGCAUUUGACAAAGUUUUGGGAAGGUGUAGUUGAAAAUCCACAAUUGACACAUAUAGUUUCAUAUAGUUUGUGUGAGAACUUAGAAUUGGUGGGUAUUGUUAACUUAGAUUUUCUCAAAUGGAAAAGUUGUGUAUAUAAAAAGUUUAGAUCUUGAAGAUAUCUAACAACUUGGUAUUCAAAAUAUUUUCAUUUGAAGUAAUUUAGUUUGUCAUUUGACCAAGUUUGACCGAAACCCGUCUUGGAUUUUAUAGAAAUGUAACUAGAAUUGGCUCAAAAUUAUCAAAUGGAAAAAUGGACAAUAUAUAAAAUAUAGAUUUUGAUGAUCUCUAACAACUUUGUAUUCAAACUUUUUUCAUUUCAAGUCAUCAAAUGGGCUAUUUGACCAAGUUUGACCAAAGUCAAAGCAUUGGUUUUUACAAACACACCCUUUGACCGAACCCUAGAUUGUCUCAAAUGGAACAGUCAAGCCGACACAACAGUGAACUUCUUCUUGACGUAUGACCCUUGGUUAUGAUCCUGCCGUAACCAUGGAGUAUCCUCAUUGUUUAACAGAAUGCUUGGGUCUUUGUUGACUAUGAAGGGCGGAAUUCGAUCAUCCCUUUCGUAAUCGCCUGACAUGUCUGACUUGUCCUCAAUUCCGACAAUGUUUCUUUUCCCAGAAAGGACAAUGUGGCGCUUUGGCUCAUUGAUGAUUGAGUGGUCAUCAUUUUUUCCUCUCUUUGGUUUCGUAGACAUAUCUUUGACAUAGAACACCUGACUCACGUCUGCAGCAAGGACGAAUGGUUCGUCUUUGAACCCACUAUUGUUAAGGUCCACGGUUGUCAUCCCAUACUCCUUGUCGACUAUUACCCCACCUCCGGUCAUCUUCACCCAUUGGCACCGGAACAAAGGAACUUUAAAAUUAGCUGCAUAGACUAGUUCCCAUAUGUCUUCUAUGCGUCCAUAAUAUGUUUGCCUGUUCCCAUUUGGAUCCGUGGCAUCCACGCGUACACCACUAUUUUGGUUGGUGCUCCUUUUAUCUUGGCCAACUGUGUAAAAUGUGUUACCAUUUAUCUCGUACCCUUUGUAUGUGAGGACAUGCCAUGAUGGUUGCCUGGCCAACAAAUAAAGCUGCUCAUCAAUGUUUUCAUCACCUUGACAUUUUUUGCGCAACCAAUCGCCAAAAGUUUCCAUGUGCUGACGCAUUAUCCAAGCUUCAUUCUUCCCGGGCCACUGGGACCGUAGGUAAUCUUUGUGUACCUCAACAUAUGGUUCCACCAAUGAGGAGUUCUGGAGAACUGUGUAGUGUGCUUUAUUGAAGUAAUCGUUUCCCGUACCAAUAUAUGUUUUCUUCCCAAGUGUUCCCUUUCCGCUGAGUCUGCCCUCGUGUCGAGAUUCAGGAAUGCCAAUUGGGUCAAGGUCUGGAAUAAAGUCAACACAGAACUCUAUGACCUCCUCUGUUCCGUAGCCCUUGGCAAUGCUUCCUUCUGGCCGGGAACGACUAUGGACAUAUUUCUUUAGGACACCCAUGAAUCUCUCGAAGGGGAACAUGUUGUGUAGGAACACAGGACCGAGAAUACGAAUCUCUUUGACCAGAUGAACUAGGAGGUGUGUCAUGAUAUCGAAGAAGGAUGGAGGGAACACCAACUCAAAGCUGACGAGACAUUGAACGACAUCAUUCUGCAGAGUAGCUAGUUGCUCUGGAUUGAUUGCCUUCUGAGAAAUUGCAUUGAGGAAUGCACAUAGCUUUACGGUGGCUAGACGUACGUGUGGAGGUAGAAUUCCUCUUAAAACGACCGGCAGCAAUUGCGUCAUUAGAACGUGACAGUCAUGGGACUUCAAGUUCAGGAAUUUCUUUUCUGGCACAUUAAUUAUUCCCUUGAUAUUGGAGGAGAAUCCAGAUGGGACCUUGAUGCUGCUAAGACAUUCAAACAUGCUUUCCUUCUCUUCUUUGCUCAGAGUGUAGCUAGCAGGGCUUAAGUAAUGACGUCCAUCAUCUGUCUUUUCUGGAUGCAGGUUGUCUCGUUCUUUCAUGCGCUGCAAGUCUUGUCGUGCUUCAAGUGAAUCCUUAGACUUCCCGUAGACACCCAUGAAUCCGAGCAAGUUCACACAAAGAUUCUUUGUCAGGUGCAUCACGUCGAUCGCGUUGCGGACCUCUAGGACAUUCCAGUAAGGUAGCUCCCAAAAUAUGCAUUUCUUCUUCCACAUGGGUACGUGUCCCUUAGCAUCCUUGGGAAUAGGUUCGCUGCCUCGUCCCUUUCCAAAUACCACUUUUAUAUCCUUGACCAUUUCGAGUACAUCAUCCCCGGUUCGAUUGAGAGGUUUGGUCCGGUGGUCUGCCUUGCCUUUAAAAUGCUUGCCUUUCUUUCGUACUGGGUGGUUCAUAGGAAGAAACCGACGGUGGCCAAGGUACACGACCUUUCGACAUUUUUUCAAAAAUACACAGUCAAGGUCUUCAUAACAAUGUGUGCAUGCAUUAUAUCCCUUGUUUGACUGGCCUGAAAGAUUACUCAGAGCUGGCCAAUCAUUGAUUGUUACAAACAGCAAUGCUCGUAGGUCAAAGUGCUCUUGUUUAUACUCAUCCCACACGCGAACUCCUGGUUUGCUCCAUAAAAGUUGAAGUUCCUCAACUAAUGGCCUAAGGUAGACAUCUAUGUCAUUGCCAGGUUGCUUCGGUCCUUGGAUAAGCACCGGCAUCAUAAUAAACUUCCGCUUCAUGCAUAGCCAUGGAGGAAGGUUGUAGAUACAUAGAGUAACUGGCCAAGUGCUGUGACUACUGCUCUGCUCACCGAAAGGAUUCAUACCAUCUGUACUUAAGGCGAACCGCAAGUUUCUAGCAUCAUUUGCAAAAUCUGAGAAUUCUCUGUCUAUCGCUCUCCACUGGGAUCCAUCGGCAGGGUGUCUCAGCAUAUUGUCUAUCUUACGGUCUUCUUUAUGCCACCGCAACAACUUUGCAUUGUCCUUAUUUCUGAACAGACGUUUUAAUCGUGGUAUUAUAGGAGCAUACCACAUAACCUUGGCUGGAAUUUUCUUCCUAUGACGUUCUUCACCCUCAACAUCGCCAGGAUCAUCUCGUCUAAUCUUAUACCGUGAUGCCUUACAUACUGGACAUGCAUCCAAAUUCUCGUAUUCCUCCCCACGGUAGAGGAUGCAGUCAUUAGGACAUGCGUGUAUCUUCUGGAUUUCUAAUCCCAAAGGGCAGACAACCUGUUUUGCUUCAUACGUAGUGGUGGGCAAUUCGUUGCCUUUCGGAAGCAUCUUUUUUAUGAUCUUCAAUAACUGCCCAAAUGCCUUGUCAGAUGUACCAUUCUUUGCCUUCCAUUGCAGCAAUUCUAGUGUGGUACCCAGCUUUUUUUGCCCCUCUUCAGCGGUGGGAUAUAGCGAUUUCCUGUGGUCCUCUAGCAUGCGCUCGAACUUGGCUUUCUCUUUAUCACUUUCACAUUCUCUUUGUGCAUCACGGAUGGCAUCACCAAAAGCAUCAUCGCCCCGAUCAUCUUCUGCCGCCACCUCUUCUUCAUUAUCUCCCCCCAUUGCAACAUCAUUGAAGCCACCGUACUGAGCAAUAAUAUUGGCAUGGUCCAAUUCUUCUUCUUCUUCACCUUCAUCCAUUAUAAUCCCGCUUUCUCCAUGUUUGGUCCAACAAAUAUAGUUUGGUACGAAACCAGACUUUAAUAAGUGUGAAUGAAGAGUUCUUGAGUUAGAAUAUUCCGUCAAAUUCUUGCACACGGCACAUGGACAGCACAUGAAACCGUCCCUCUUAUUUGACUCGGCCACACUUAAGAAAUAGUGCACGCCAUUAAUGAACUCUUCGGAGCGCCGAUCGGCAUUAUACAUCCAAUUACGUGUUACCAUCUGCAUUAAAGAUAACAUAUAUAUUAUGAAAACCAUGCACACAUAUAGUUUCUCAUCUUAUUGCACAACAUGUCUAAGAUACAUAGUUGAUUAAUUUAGAAAAGCUUGGCUACAACAAAUACAAUCGCAACUAGCAUUAAAAAAAAUAAAACUAAAAUGCACUUAAGCAACAUAAUUAGUUCGCGUCCGAUCCCAACUAUAAUAGAUAGAUCAUUCGCUUGAUCAACUUCAUUGAACUUCUUUCGUCGGCUCACUGCCUCACCACCUUCAGCCUCAACCACCUGUGCAAAAGAUUUCUUAAUGUGUUCAAUGUAUUCUUCCUCCCAGUACCAACCUGUACAUCCGCCGGUACCGUCCCACUGAAAUUAAAAGAGAGAAUCAAAAGUUUAAUUAAUAUCAUUUAAAAAAAUAUGCACAUAUAUAAGCAAAUGUCUGGAAAUAACUCACAUUACGAUCUGGACACUUGUAGAAUAUACGACCCUUGUUUACUCCCUCUUUCGACACUUUGUACUCCAUCAAAAUCUUCUGCCCACACUUGCCACAAGUAAUGAGAGGGAGUUCCGGACGGUAUCGCUUUUGAACCCGUUGAGAGACGGAAGACCCGGUCACGGUUGCCAUCUACUAUCCAUACUCAAUUUUAAAACAAUUAUAAAUUCCACAUUUACUAGUAAACAUGUAUGAUACAAUGGACAUUAUAUGUAGUAAUAAAAAUAAAUCAAGUGAUAUUAACAAACCAAUUAAUUUGAACUAUCCUACUUUCUAUGAUCAUAAAAAUAUACUAUAAUUUAUUCUUGCAAAAUAUAUUAAAACUAGGUCAACCAUGAAAUAUGAUAUAUAUAUAUGGAUACUAAUUCAUGUGAAUGAUUCAAAAUAACAAAGUGGAUUUGAGCUAAAAAAUGAUGGGAACAUCACAAGCCAAAAACAACAUGAAAAAGAUAAGAAAGGCUGAAGUUAGUCACCUCUAAGCGCGAAGAGACGAUGACGGAGUCGAAGAAGAUCAACGAUGGGCGUUGGAGAUGAAGAACAAAUGAAGAACAAGCAAGAAGAAGCUCCAAGAACAACAAUGGCGCUCUCGGUUUCAAAUGGGCAGAGGGGAGGAGGGAGCCGGCCUAUAAACCGGACCUUUAGCACCGGUUCAGAGCAACAACCGGUGCUAAAGGGUUACCUUUUAGCACCGGUUUGUAACACAAACCGGUGCUAAAGGGUUUGCCUCGGCCCGGGGCUCUGGCCGGUGCUAAAGGGGUCUUUAACCCCGGGCCGCAAAAUGGCCGAGGUUUUUGGCCAUUUUAGGCAUCAACCAAUGCCUCAUUCUGUAGUAGUGUAUUAUUUCUGGCAAGACGUCCGGGGACAUGCAUGGUCACCUUCACAAGAACAUAAACAAUCUGUGAUCUGUUUUUUGUGCUUUGCUAUCUGCAACUUGCCGAACUCUCAUCAAUUAGCACUCAUUCAUCGCAUGACAAUAUGGUACUAGUAUAUAAUUAGACACGUACACACUUUGUACUUUAUUUUACCACCGGCCGAUAUGGACUGGAUUUCUGCUCUUCAAAUAUUUUUCUUGUUCUCUCUUUGUCAACUUAUGACACUAGUAAAACAAGGUUAACGGUGGUGGUUGUGUCUAAUUUGUACAAGCGGUUUCGAUUAUAGCGCGCUAGUGCAUAGAAAAUGACCGUCCGACUCAUAAACCAUGUAUAAACUACUUUCUAUAGGCGGUUCACUUAACAGAACCGUCAGUGGAAAUGGUGUCUUUCCACUGGCAGUUCAUUUAAAUGAACCGCCUAGAGAAAGUGAUUCACACUGGCGGUCGACUUAAAAAUCAGACAUUUACAUGAGCGGUUCAGUUAAGUGAACCGUCAGUGUAAAAGGUUCUCUGCAGACGAUUCUUUAAGCCAACCACCAAUGAAGUCUCUGGUAUAAAUACCCCUUCUUCCUCCCCGAGCAGAGUUGCUUCUCGCAGCCACCUUCCAUAGGAGGCCAUUUUGGAGGUCUAGUUUUCACUAAAUACAAGGGGAGAGGUUUUGAUCUUGAUUUCUUGGAAGGAGGUUGCUAAGAAAGGUUAGUUUAUGUCUCUCUUGCCUCUUUUUUUCCAUUUUAGCUCAAUUUGAGACACUUUUUGGAUAUAGGGUUUCACCAUGUGUUAGAUAGAAGAGUAGCUAGGUUAAUAUCUUUAUUUGCUCAAAUGAGGUUGCUUAAGAUGGUUAGAUGAUGUCUCUCCUCUCUCCCUUUUUAUUUUUGCUUCUCACUUUAGUUUAUCCAAGACUAAUGUAUGUAUUUCUAUGAAUUGUGUGUUCUUGUGUAUUUAUAUGGAGAGAGAAAUAUAUGUUAUCUUUGUUAGAUUUUUAAAUUUUAUAGUUUUUAUCUACAUUUUUUAAUUUGUAUGUUUUUAAAUUAUGUAGUUUGUGUUUUCAUUUCUUAAUUUAAUUUAAAUAUCCCUUAUUUAAUUAUCCACUAUGUAUUUAUAUAUGAAAGAGAUUUUGUGUUUAUUAAAUGAAAAAUAUGAAAAAGAUUUUGUGUUAAUAUCAUUCUUCUACCUUUCAGCGAACCUUGCUUUGAGGUCUUCAAAUUAGAAAAUAUAUAAGUGAGAGGUUUUCAUCUUCAUUUCUUUGAGGGAAGUUGGUGAUCAAAAGAUUAGAUAAUAAAUAUCUUCGGACGAUCAUACUUGUUUUGCAUUGAUUAUAAUUAAUUUAUUAUAUUUAUUUAGGUAAUGAUGGAGAGGUCAUUAUAGAUGUAUAAUUUAUCAAGAUUAGAUCCAUUACAUAUACUCGAGGUCCAUAGGUUUAUUGAUGCUGCUAAGAACCAUGCUUGGAGAACAAAGAUGAAGCACAUAUAUUGUCCCUACACAAACUGCAAAAAUAUUAUUGUAUUUGAUGACACUAAACCAAUCACUUCUCAUCUGGUCUGUUGAGAAUUUAUGAAGGAUUACUUGAUUUGAACAAAGCAUGGUGAGGAUAGCUCUGCGCCUUAUACAACUGAAAACCCUGAGAACAUCGACGCUGAUGGUCUAGACAUGAUUACUAAUAGAUUUUUGUUCGUACACGAGACACAACAACCUCUUCCCCAUAGCGAACAUGUUGUGCCAAAUAUUACGAUUAUAGAAGAUGUAGAAUUCUUAGAGGCAAUGUUGCGUCGUCAUAUGGAUCCAUCAAUGUUGUUAAUAAAAGAUAUGGAGGCCCUGAUGAAGGCUACAAAAGAGCCUUUAUACAAUGAGUUUAAGGGUUGUACCAAAAAGUUCAUAUUAUUGCGGUCUGUGCUAAAGUUGUUGGUAUUAAAAGCUAGAUAUGGUAUGUCUGAUGCUCACUUUAAUGCCUUUUUGAGUAUUAUCGCUGACAUUCUUCCAAAGGAGAAUAAAGUGUCUGCUAACAUGUACUAUACAAAGAAGCUAAUCUAUCCGCUCACUAUGAGUGUCGAUUAGAUCCACGCGUGUAGAAAUCACUAUAUUCUAUAUCGUGGUGAUGAUUAUAAGGACUUGGAGAGUUAUUCAAAGUGUGGUGCAAGUAGGUACAAGACGAAUAAAGACUAUAGGGAGGAAGAGUGUGAUGUCUCUGGAAAGAAGCGAAAGAAGACCCAAAAGAACAACCAAUAGAGUUCAAAACUCAGGAGCAAAGAAAAAGAAGUAGACUACUAUGCGCAGAAAAAGAUUCCUGCUCUGGUGAUAUGGUACCUUCCUAUGAUCGAUCGAUUGAGGUGUUUACUUACUAACCCAAAGGAUGCCAAACUUAUGAUCUGACAUGCUUCUGAUGAGCACAAAAGUGAUGGGAAGCUAAGGCACCCAGCCGAUGGCAAGCAGUGUCAAGAUUUUAAUGACAACCACCGAGACUUUGCUGACAAACCAAGAAAUGUUAGGUUUGCACUGAGUUCUGACGGAAUAAAUCUAUUUGCAGAGAGGAGCAUGAAGCACGACACAUGGCCGGUGAUCCUCACCAUUUAUAACAUUCCUCCAUGGUUGAUGCAAAAACAAAAGUACCUUUUGCUAACCAUUCUUUUUUCUAGAUCUACAGAAUCUAGGGUUGAUAUAUGUUUUUGGAGCCCUUAAUGGAGGACAUGAAAAUAUUGUGAGAAAUAGGUGUUCCAACGUUAGACGAGUACCGCAAAGAUUCAUUCAUGUUAAGAACAAUUAUUUUUGUUACGAUCAACGAUUACCUUGCUCUUUUCACAUUAUUAGGACAGUUCAAGGGAAAGGUUGGUUACGUAGUAUGCAUAGAUAGAACUACUUACGUGUUCCUUGAUGCAUCUAAAAAGUUAGUGUACAUGAGGCACAAACGCUUCUUAUCGAAAGGGCAUACGUAUUGCCUAAAAAAGAUGAAUAAGUACUUCAACAAUAAUGAUGAAGUACACUCUACUACACCAUUAGGUAAUAGUAAAGGCCAAAUAGUUUGCAAAAUCAAAUUUGUUUUUAGGAAGAAGGUAAAAGACAAAAAACUAAGAAAGGAUGCGAAACUAACUCUAGGGGCUACAUUAACAAAGAAGUCUAUUUUAUUUGAGUAGUUUCCUUAGUGGAAAAAGAAUUAGAUGUAUGCCACGCGAUCGAUGGUAUGCACAUUCAGAAGAAUGUGUUUGAAAGCUGAAUUAGCACCUUGCUAGACAUAAAGCGCAAGAAAAAAAAGGAAGGACUCAAUUCACGCAUGGACAUGGUACAGUCAGACAUAAAAAAGAACUUCACCCUAUUCUUCUAGAAAAUGGGAAGUACCAUCUUCCGGUAGCAAGCUAUAACCUCAACAUAGAUGAGAAACAUGCAAUGUGUGUGUGAUUAAAGAAUUUAAAAGUCACAUCUAGAUCCUGCUCCAGCAUACAGAGUAUUAUGUUAAUAAAAGACCUUUACACUCACCAACUACAACUCACAUGAUUGUCAUGUCAUGCUGACUACUUUCCUCCCUAUUACCACGAGGGCUAUAAAUCCUGUGUUCUUAAAGAUGACAGUCACACAGUUGUGCUACUUUUUCAACAAGAUCUCACAAAAAGGUAAUUGACAGUGAUGAGUUGGUGUCUCUUCAGGAAUUUUCUAUAGAGACAGUGUCACAAUUUGAGAUGUGUUUCCCCCCAUCAUUAUUCGACAUCAUGGUACACCUUGUGGUGUACUUGGUUCCAAAAAUACAGGUAUUGGGUCCCAUGUACUUGCAUGAAAUCUAGACGUGAGUGUUUCAUAUCAAUAAUAAAUAGCUAUGUAUAAACUCAUGCUCAUCUUAAGGCGUCUAUGGUAGAGGGGUAAUGUACCGAAGAGGCCAUUGAGUCCAGAGGUCUAUUCUGUAAUAGUGUCUUAAAAGACCAAGUUGCAAUAGGUCUACCUCCAUCAUGACAUGAGGGUAGGCUGCAUGGAAGUGGGAGAAUGAGAUGCAAAUCAUUCAUCUCGCCAGAUUACAAUACAGUCCUUGAGGCACAUCACAACAUCCUACAUUAGCUCUCGAUAAUGGAGCCUUUGGUCAAGCAACACAUGCAUGAGCUUCGCAAACAUAAUCAUUGGCAUACAAACGAUUGGGUAAUGAAGGAACUCAAGAUUCGGUUCAGCACAUGGUUAAUGGAGCAGGACAUUCCACCUGGGGAAAUAAUUGAGAAACAAACCAUCAAGGUGUUGGCAUCUAGGCCAUCAUGCCAGGUCUCGACAUGGCGGAUCUAUGACAUUAGUGGUUUCACGUUUUGUACCAAGUCUAAGGACAAAAAGAGCAUGGCACAAAACAACGGUGUUUGAUGUGAGGCCAUAGACGAUGAAACUGGUGAGAUUAGUACAUACUUUGGCUUCACUGAGGAUAUAUAAGAACUAGACUAUAGUGCAUUUCAGGUCUCUGUAUUUUGAUGUCAAUGGAUUGAAGACAAACAUAUCAUAGUGGAUAACUAUAGGGUUAGAGUUCUUGAUCUAAGUAAGGUAGGUUAUAAAGAUGACCCGUGGAUCCUUGCUAACCGUGCUGCACAGGUCUUCUAUAUAUGAUGAUCAGAACCUUUCUAAGAAUGAGAAGAAAAGUAAUGACAAGUCGAAGUAUAUAGUUUUUCAUGGAAAGCAACAAGUUAUAGGAGUUGGUGAUGUAUUUGAUCUGGAGGAUUUUAACCAGUUCAGCGAUAUGUCUCUCUUUACAUACCAUCGAGUGAAGAUAAAGAGUGUUGAGCAUAGCAACCCACACAAUUCCUUACCCUGGGUGCGCCCCGAUGGACAAGGAAAAACAAUAGAUGUCUAGAUUAAAUUUGUCAUUUCUCAUGAAUGUUAACAAUUUUCUCUAUAAAUUUGCCCAAACUUUUCAAAGUUUGGCUUAGGAAAACAGACUAGAACACAAAGCUUUCUUGGGACAGAGUGUACCUAACUAGCUAAAUCGAUUUGAUGUGUGAAAUUUAUGGCUAAAAUUUAGCUAGCAUUAUAUGUGCUACACUGUUUCUUGAAAUGCUUCACAACUAAUCACAUCUUAAUUUAUGCUCAUCACCCUGUUUGGUUAAAUGUCGAAAUAUCCAAGAUUAUAAUUUACACUAGUGGACCAUGCAAUGUGCCUCAUGUUUUUCUUGUUGCCACCUUCAUGGAAAGGGAAAGAUCAUUGUUAUCCUACUACUAGUAGGCUGACGCUGAGAAAGCUAAACUAGCUGAUAGCUCGUGUUGUCAUAUAUAAAUGUCUCAAGGAAAAACAAACUUAAUUUAUUGCCAAUGACAAAUGGAUAGAUUGCUAGAAUUACCUAGGCUAUGACAUUUCUACAAUUUAGCAUAUAUGCUACGAUCAAGCUUGAUUGGCCCAUUGACACCAAAUAGGUCUAUUAUGAAAUUAUGUUCCAUGACAUAAUCUAAGGAUAAUUAUUUGGUAACAUAAAUUAGUAACUUGGUCAAACAUUAUAUAGUUUGACUUAGACCAAAACUAAAAAACAUCAAGUUUUUUUGGGGCAGAGGUGUACCAUAUAUUGAUACUAGCUAAGUGAAUAUAGCUGUUUGUAGAAAGAAAAUCAACUACAUUUUGCCACAAGAAGAAAAUAAUUAUGACAUAUGUGGAAGAUCUGAAAAUGUGCUUUGAUAAAUGUCUCUCUGCAAAAAUGGUAACAUAAUGGCUAUCUAAAAAUGAAGGAGUGAGGACCCAGUAUAGCAGACUCGGCAUGCUUGACGACUCUUUCAAAUCAAAAUACAAUUCAAUUUCAGUGUGGAACUCAAUCAAUAAUUUUUGUCAUUCCAGAAUAGAUGACAAAGCCAAGCAGGCAAAAAUUUUCAACAUGAACGUCGAGGUACGGUGGUCUAUAUAUAUGUGGUCAAAUUCAAAAAACUAGAUACAAACGAUACAUAAAUAUAAUAGCUAGGAUGCAUAAUGGCGGGAACAAGUGCUGAAGUGCUCACUGGUCCCAAAAACAAUUUAACCUACUGCACGUUCCUUAAUUUUCUUUUUCUCCGUCAGUGUAAUUAGCUGGCAAUUAUCAUAUCGAAAUCGAGACAGGUACUUGUAUAAAUGUCCUGAAAUGUGAUGGAAGUUAAAGAUACCUAGGUAGAGUGCACGUAGGCAGCUUUAUAACAAUUAGGGGACCCUGCAUGUGAUGCCGACCAUUAUAUUGAUCAAACUCAUCCAUCAAUCCAUAUCGACCUCCUAGCUUGUGACGAAAGCUCCAUUAAAUCAUUCAAAGAGAUGGAUGAACGUGUGCUAGCUGUCGAUCUAUACCUAUAUGUCGCCGAACAUUUUGUGCACAUAUAUAUAUGGAGAUCUAUACAUAUAUGUCGCCGAACAUUUUGUGCACAUAUAUAUAUGUAGAGUAUACUCUGUAGCUAGCUACAAAAUAUGUUAUUCUAUAGCCACCUCCAUUUAUGAUAAUUUUAUAUACUAAUUUACGAUAAUAUGUAUACAUAUUUACGAUAGUUGGAUUACUAUAACACAUGGGGAUAUUUACUGUAAUGUUAUAGUAAACCACUUAGUAAGGAGUUACUAUAAUCUUGUAAAUUAAUAUAGUAAUUAUCGUAACUCAAAGUGGCUAUAAAAUAAGUUAUUUUGUAGCCAACUACAGAGUAAUAGUUCUAUACACACACGUCUAACUUGAGACACAUGGAAGAUCAGAAUGUAGACAAGCAUGUACUACCAUAGUUUGUCAUGCAUGCUAGCUGCCUAUAUAUUUGGUCAGAGAAAUAUAAUGCAUGCAGGUGAAAUGUGUGAUGAAUAAUUUGCAAGACCUUUCUUUUCAGAGAUGAUUUUUUUUUGCAGAUCCUAAUCGAUCUUGCUGUAGUAAUUUAGCAGUAACAUGUGCUUGCGUAUGAACCUACUACCAAUCUAUUGUUAUAUAUAUACAGCAACAGAAACUCCAAGGAGAUAGGAGCAAUCCGAGGCUGACACUCUGACCAUGAGGUGGCAGAGAAAAGUUACAAGCCUUCAGUAGAAUAAAAGGAUGUGUGCUGCAUGAGGUGAAUAUGAUGAGUAGAUAAAUGGUACAUGUGCAUUGCAUGCAGGUGAAAAAAAUGUGAUGAAUAAUUUACAAGAUCUUUCUUUCGAGAUUUUUUUUUUGAUAGAUGCUCAUGAUCUAUCUUGCUGUAGUAAUAAGUUAGUUUUACUUAUAUAUGUUUGCGUCGUAACCUACCAAUAUAUUGUUACAUAUAUGGUGCUGCACCAACAGAAACUCCGAGGAGAUGGUUGUAAUCAGUACUGAGAUAUGGUGCCCGUAGCUUUUGUUUCUUGCUUUGUUUCAAACUUAUGUAUUUCCAUUGGUUAACUUCAAUGAAAAUAUGUACCCCCAUAUGCUAGGAUGGCCCAGCUCAUGGUUGUAAUCUUGUAGACCUCCUAGAGCGCUCGCCAGAAGAGCAUUGUGUACACCAAACUUUUCUACCUUAAUAUAAAGAUGCACAAAUAUUUUGCAUAUUAAAAUAAAGUCUAAUGAAAAUAUGAUGCCUUGGGUCGAAGAAAAAAUAAACUCCAAGGAGAUAGGAGCUAGCAAUACGAGGCUGACUUUGCUGACCAUGAGGUGGCACAGAAAAGUUACAAGCCUUCACUAGAAUAAAAGGUUGUGUGCUGCAUGAGGUGAAUAUGGUGAGUAGAUAAAUGGUACAUGUGCAUAUGCAUGCAUAUGUGCCCCACAAGCUGUAGCAUCACAAUCAAUGUAAUAAAAGGUAGUGUUGCACUGUGUGAUCAAUCAGCUGAUUAUUAAACAAACAUGAUGCUGUCUAUAGUUUAAUUAUAUAUAUACAAGGAUUGGUGGAGGGCAGAGAGAGUGGUGGCCGCCACUGGCCAUGGCUCUCCCUUUUCUUGUCCAGUUAGUUGUUAGUUACUAUAUAUAUUCCAUGCAUGGAUGAUCUGCAGGUGGCCCCGAUCGAUGAACUAUUCAGUACUACAGUAUGAUUUAUUAUAUAGUAUAUAUGUAUGAUAAACUGAUAUGUUUGUGAUCUAGUUGGGUUUAGUUUAUAGGUUGAGUGUUGAUGGGACCGGCCACUGAAAGCAAUGCCUCUCCGACCCGUCAAUCAUAUUUCCACAUCGAUCUCUCAAGGCCAUAUCUUCGUUUUGGUUCAUUGUUUCACCUUUCUGAUUAAUCAUCAUGUUCUUUCUCCCCCUUUCGAUCUGUUCUUCAAGUUUGAUCUAGCUAGUAGCGUGCAGUAGUAGUAACUCGUCGUAUGUAGGAAUGGAAACAUCCCUACUUUCUUUAAUUUGUAUAUUCCUUUUAGAGCCUGUUUUUGAUAGCCCCUAAUUAAAGAAGGUUCUAGGCUAAUCUAGGAUCAGAAGCUCCGCCAAACAAAAAGCCGGCCUUGAGAAUCUAGUUUUAAUGAUAAGUGAUUGUAUAUUGAUUCUGUAAAAUGAUUCUCUAAGAUAAACUGGAAUAUAUAGAAGUUGAAAAGUAAUUUCUCUUGAUUAGUUUUGAAUUUUUUUGGUUUUCAUUACUGUAGCACUUUCGUUUUUAUUAGACAAUUAUUGUCCAAUCAUGGACUAACUAGACUCAACAGAUUCAUCUCGUGAUUUACAGGUAAUUAAAUUGUGUAAUUAGUUCAUUUUCGUCUAUAUUUAGUGCUUCAUGCAUGUGUCGAAAGAUUCGAUGUGAUGUAAAAUUUUGAAAAGUUUUUUAUUUUUGGGUGAACUAAACAAGGCCUCGUUCCACACUGAUUACUCUAUCAAUUAUGCACAUGAUGUUUUUCAGCAACAUUAGCUAGCUGGGGAGUAGCUAGCUAGCUACUAAUGCAACCUCGGAUUCAUUUGUCUAUAUGCAUUUGUCAUCUAAUGGGGGGCAUUCAUGAUCGUCUUGCACACAUCACAGGGAGAGUAGGUAAGCUCGCUGAUCAUUGCGUGUCAGACUGAUCAACAGACACUACUACAUACUACUACGCCAUACGCUCUGCUGUGCCGUUCGUUGGCUAUUUAAUUACGGCCUUGUUUAGUUCUGAAAAGUAAAAAAAAUUUUAGUACUGUAGCACUUUCGUUUGUUUGUGACAAAUAUUAUUUAAUCAUAGACUAAUUAGGAUUAAAAGAUUCGUAUCGUGAUUUAUAGCUAAUCUGUGUAAUUAGUUUUUGUUUUCGUCUAUAUUUAAUAUUUUAUGUAUGUGCCACAAAAUUCGAUGUGAUGAGAAAUCUUGAAAAAUUUUUGAUUUUCAGGGUGAAAUAAACAAGGCCACAUGCAUGCCUGUUGCCUGCCUGCACAUUCUUGAAUCUUGACCAAUACAAGGCAAUGCACCAAUGGCUACAGGGAGGCCGGCAGCAGCCUAGAUACCUACGGAGUACUGCAGUGCUGCGUACAACACCACCAUGUGUUCUGAAAAUGUAUCGUCGCGUCGCAGGCAGACAGGGACGUACGUGGAUCGGCCAGCAGCCAGCCCCGCUUGCCAUGUAAAUGUGCAUGUGGCUGCUGGGGGCCGGCGACGAGACCCAUGCACGUGUACUCCCUCCGUACCUGAAUUAUUUAUCGUUUUAACCUUUUAGCCCUAUCUCUCAAAAGAGAACUAGCUAAUCAAACUAUGCAACAUUGUUGCAAAAGUAACAACUACGGUGUUAUUUAAUAAGAACAAAGAAAAAAAAAUAUUAUCUAAUUAAUCACUCCUUGGUAAAUACAAUUAUGUUCUAAACGUCAACAAAUUUAGAUAUAGAGAGAGUAUACGUCUCGUCCGAGGUCCAACAAACCUCCGGAAAUAAUACGAUGCCAUAUACAUACAUUGGCUGCACAGCUAACAGCUCAUGUCAUGUAAUAUUUCUAUAACUUCCUCUUUUUUACUAUAUAUGGUAAAUCUAAUAAUACUAAUUUGAUAUCAUAAGUUUUAAUGUUUUUUUCAAGAAAUUUGGUUAAAGUUGACUUAACAUAACUCUAAAAAUCUAUUUAUUCGGGAACAAAAAAAUACUUCAAAUUGAAAGAAACUCUUUAUUUGCUUUCUCCCGAUGAAAACUAAAGCAAAGAAAACAAACAUGCAUUCACACGUGAACAAAUAUGGGCUCAUCAACUGGUACACGCGGUCUGCUAAUAAUACUGUGCAGCACCGAACGCUAGAACCUGGCAGGCUGGCACAGUUGCAAACCUCUCUUUCUUGUUUAGUUCCGAAAAGUGAAAAGUUUUUGAUACUGUAGCACUUUCGUUUGUUUGUGACAAAUAUUAUCCAAUUAUGGAUUUUAUGGACUAACUAGGAUCAAAAGAUUCGUCUCGUGAUUUACAGCUAAACUGUCUAAUUAGUUUUUGUUUUCGUCUAUAUUUAAUGUUUCAUACAUAUGCCACAAGAUUCGAUGUGACGGGAAAUCUUGAAAACUUUUUGGUUUUCAGGGUGAACUAAACAACGCCAGUGUCAGAAAGUAGUCUCUGCCCAAGCAAACCAUGUUAACUAAGCACAAAAUAUUCCAUUACAUAGCCAAACAGGCAUUCAAACAAACUUAUAAGAAAGACAGCACAAAGAAAAAUAGGCUCUAAACGACGACGGCGUUCACCAUCUUUAAUUUCCUGGUGAUAUCACUUUUGAGAGGAUCCCCUAUUGUUAGACAUCAAAAUGCAACUGCCGAUAUACCAUAAAUACAUUAAUUUGGUGUGGCGACUAGGAUCAUCCAUGGAUUCAUUAGAAAAAAAUUAACGGGAAUAUGAAUGAUGACACAAGAGAAAUAAUCACUACUACAAAAAUCUUUGAAGAGGCGUUUUGAAAUAGGCCUAUGAGGCGGGCAACAUUUUCAACCGCCUCGAUUAAUGGUAGGCAUUAACCGAGGUGGUCAUUUUUUAUUAACCGAGGUGGUUGCCAGAAACUGCCUUGCAAAAUCAAUUAAUCGAGGCGGGCACAUCAAAAUAACCGCUUCGGUUAAUAACUUUUAACCGAGACGGUCAUCUUAAGACAACCGCCUCAAUAAAUCAUUAAACGAGGCGUACAUUGUAAAGCAACCGCCUCGUUAAAUUAGGCCCAGCCCGCUAGGCCCACUCGAGCCCAAUAUCAUGUCAAAUAUGUAAACAAGAGAAACCCUAGAAUCACUCCCUCCACUCCACUCCGAACACUCAGACGCACUCAGGCCCUAUCCUGUCGCCCCCUCCUCUCCCCUCUCCCAUGUCGGCGCCCCCUCCCCUCUCCCAUCCAAUCAUCCCUCCCUUCUCUUCCCCUCUCCUCUCCCGGCGACCCCUCCCCUCCCUUCUCUCUCGGUGACCGUCAAUCUCCAUCCUCUCAGGCGUGAGCGGCGCCCCUCUCUGCACCACGCCGGCAUGGGCGCGACCUCUCGGUGGUGGCGUAGGCCAGAUCCGAUGGCAUGGAGGGCACAGUGGCGCUGGCCUCUCCUCUCACUAGCUGGUGGCGGCGUGAAACAAAUCAAGUGGCGAUGGCAGGUGGCAGUGGUGGCCGCGAGUCCCUGCACCAUGUAAGGUAUGCCCUCCUCUCUCUCUCCUAUCAAAUACACCACUCAGGCUCUCACCAUCUCCUAUCACCUUGUAGAUCGACGAUGGUGUCUUCUUCUGAAAGAUCCUUGUUUGGUUUUGGUAAUUGAGUGACAACUUAGGUGGACUAAUAGUGUUUUUGUGAGAUACACAGGAGAUUAGUCCACAGGUGAUGAUGUGAUGAUGGAGGAGCUCAUUGCACAUGAGACAUGACAUGGAGUCAUGUGACCAAGGUGGAGAAGAUCAAGAUAAGACUUGGCUCGAUGGACCGGUUGCAAGAGUGAAGGGCAAGUCGGAGGCUUUGAAGCGAGGGACCUCGUGUGACGGUGAAGCUUGAGCAAGACUUGGCGCCGAUGGACCGAGACAACGGUGGAGAGCAAGUGAGGUCAAGAUCGAUGAACUAAUACGGUCACGUGAUGAUAUGAAGUGGAUCAUAUCAUUUGGUGAUUGGUUGGUGCAUGUGUUGCAUCAAUAUUGGAGGAUAUGGAAUGGAAAGCGCAAGGCAAAGGUAUAACCUAGGGCAUUUCCAUUUCACCGGUCAUAGGUGUGUAGAGAAGUUUAUGACCGAAUUUAGGAUAGAUGGUCGUACUAUCAAGAGGGGCAAACUUGUUUGCAUAUCGGUCAUCUAGUGCCACUUGAGUGAUCUAACUUUGCAUACGUGUUAGGAUCGAGUGGCGUGCCAAGUUGAGAGGCUAACUCCUUUGGGAAAAUGUUUGUGAAAAUGCUAACACACUUGCACAUGGUGGUGUACUCUUGGUGGUGUUGGCACAUUUGCAAAGGAGAAGGUGUUGGAGUUGAUUUUGAUCAAUUUGGAGAAUAGAGAGAAGUCUUUCGGUGUUCUUCGGACAUUAGGAUGGCUUUUAGAUUGGAAUACUGCUUUAAUCCAUUUUGAUUUGGAUUGAGUAUUCAUAUAGAUUGGAUAGCACUCUAAUUAAGCUUUCCAAAAUGUCCAAGAUCAUCGAAUUUGAAGUUCGGAGCUAGAAGUUAGCAACCUAACAAGUAGAACUGUAGGCACAGGACGCUAUGAGUCCGGUGCGCACAGGACGAGUCCGGUGUGCACAGGACGCUGUGAGUCCGGUGACCCUGCAAGUUUGCGUUGCUCUCUGCGUACGGGUCUGGUGCGCAUAGGACGAGUCCAGUGUGCACAAGACGUUGUGAGUCCGGUGCUGCUGCGAGUUUGCGUUGCUCUCUGCGUAUGCGUCCGGUGCGCACAGGACGCGUCCGGUGUGAAGCAGCAGAGCGUCCGGUGCUACUGUUCCAAGCGCGCGUGCGUUGACAGCAACGGUCGAGUUCAAAUGGCUAGUGACACGUGGCUGUUUCUAGAGCACCGGACGCACUGUUCCAGCGUCCGGUGGCUCCCUGCAGUGAGUCCGGUGCCCACGACUUUUGCCCAGUUAAGAGGCAACGACUAGUUUAGCCCUUAGGGCUAUAAAUAAAAAUGGUGGCCGGCCUUGGCUGGUGCUGAGCACCCUGGGGACUUAAUGUCCAUGCAUGGGGAGUGCUAGGAAAGCCUCUAACUCACUUGUGCUUGCAAGAGUGCGAAUCAACAGCGAGUGAGUGAUUCUAGUGCGUUGCAUUGAGAGAUUGCAUUAAGGGGCACUAGGUGUUCGUGUUGCAAGCCGGUGGUGCUUGUUACUUUUGGAGGUUGCCACCUCCUAGACGGCUUGGUGGCUUGUGACUCCGUCGAAGCACGCAAGGAGAUUGUGCGGUGCUCCAGAGAAGAGAUUGUGAGGGGUACGGUGCUCACCCCGCGGGGAUCGCAAAGAGCAACUCUAGUGGAUCGCUUGUGGCUUGGAGGAUCCCAAUCUUGAGAGUGGAUGUGUGGUACCCGCUGAGGGUUUGGCUUUGGAAUGCCAAUUAGCUCGUGAUCCAUCAAGUGGGUGUAUCGCCACAACGAGGACGUAGCUUGGUGGCAACCAAGUGAACCUCGGUAAAAAUCACCGUGUCAACAUUGUCUACUCUUCUCGGUGGUUUGCAUUCACUUUACACAAGCUUGUAUUUACAUUCAAUAUACUUGUUCUUGUGUAGUUGCUCUUAUAAUUAGUUUAGCUUGUGUAGCUUACUAGUUACCUUCUUGCUUGUGUAGCUAGAAGUAGUUCCCUUGCGUGGCUAAUUCGGUUUGUGUAACCUUGUUAGUCACACUGCUUAGUUUGUGUAGCUAAGUAAGUUGCGCUCUCUAAUUUGGCAUUAGUUGCCUUGUUAUUGAGCUUGCUAGUGAGCUUAGGCUUUGUGCGCUUUGCCUCACUAGUUUGUGUAGGAGCUCCUCUAGUUUGCAAAGUAAUAGUUGCAUAGGUUUGUGUGACCUUGCUCCUAGAAUUGAUUAGGUGAUCUCAUGCUAAGGUAGCACCUUGUUUGCUUGUUUAGGAUCUUUUACAAGGUGCUAAAAGAACUUAGAUAGAGGGGUGUAGUCUUGGCUAGACCGAUAGAUUUAAUUCCGCAUUUGUUUCGGUUAGCCCGUGUGAUAUUUUUUAGAAAGGACUAUUCACCCCCCCUCUAGUCUGCCAUCUCGACCCUUCAUCGUCCCUAUAGCGGCUCCUUGGAGGCGGAUCCACCCUUCCCCUCCCACUCCCACAAGCAGGGGGCCGGAUCCGUUGAGUGGGUGCCAAGAACCAGUAGUGGGUGCCCGGAUCUGGUGAGCGGCUGCAGCGAUGCAGAAAUCCGGCGAGCUGUGGCCACAACAGCACGUGGAUGGGCUUAGCGGGCAUGUGGAUGGGCUCAUCGGGCUUAUCCACGGGUUUUAUUUUUUAUUAUUUUUUACUUGCUUUACCAAGGUGGGCAGCAAAACGCUUUGGAAAAGGCCACGAUUAAACAUGACCUUUGAUCCAAGGUGGUUGGCUUGCCCGCCUCAGUUAAUGUCUUUUGCCCGCCUCCAUUAAGUUUUAUGUAGUAGUGAAUAUAUGCUCUAACACAAAAUGGGUCUCUAACACAAUACCUAUAGCCUCCAACAGAGUAUCUAUAUGAAAGAUCCAUUUUGGGUGAGGCAUAACUCAAAUUUGACUAUCCUCUCUCAAGGAGACCUAUUUGUAAAAAGUGUUGUCUUUUGGGUCUUGUUAUUGGAGAAGACCAAAAGUAGGUAUUGAACCUUUUGCCUGUAGCUCUACCCAAAGGACAAAUGGGUCUUAUAUUUUAGGUUUUGGUUGUUGGAGAACGGAUAUAAUAGAUGUAUAAACAAACAAAAGAACGAAGACAGAGUCUUCCUUUUAGCUAGAAGAGUGGUGGCUACGGUGACUUUGCUUUUUACCUGCCUCAUCUUGACAAGUUGGAAUUCUCUUGUGCUAAUUGUUUUAGUUCAUGCAUUACUAUUUUAUUUUCAUAGCAUGGUUUUCACCACAUGUUUUGGCUAGAGCCGGAGGUGAUAAUGUUUCACCACUGGUUCAGAAACUGGUAAGACACAGUGGCAUAAAACCAGUAGUGAAAAUUCUUUUCACCACUAGGUCGGUGGUAGGUCCAGUAGUGAAAAUCAUGGCAGAGGUGAAAACAAAUUUCACCAUCGGGUUCUCACAAAGGUAGGCGACAUGACAGGUUGGAAUUAGGUGUAAGGGUGUGAUGCUAUGUUCAUCAGUGGAUAGUUCUUCCCCAUGGAGGUAAAACCACUCUUGCUCCAAGAAACAACUCGCAGCCUCAUCGGCGUCGUACUCCGAUGAGAAAGUGCGCAGUGAGAGGAUGUCUGUCCUUGGUUGGGGGUGAAUGCACUGCUAGCAGAGAUGAUCUCACUAGGGAACCAGACGUUGCCUUUGAGAGCAGCAUCUUUGGCUCCUGCAGCAAGGAUGGUGGCUCGAUCGAUCACAGAGCGGUGAUUACAAAUGAAGCUGCACUUUACCUGGCGCUCCGACUGUCAUGGGCUCGUAACCACGACAGUCAUUAGGUUGUUCGAUGUGAGUCUAUGUGUAUGUCUCCAAUGGCCUUGAGCAAAUGAAAAUACUCAGAACACGUGGGAUUUAUCCUAAUUUGGGCCUCUGAGCCCUACAUCUAGUAGUGGUGUCCUCCAUGUUAGGAAUGCUCAAAAUGAGACAUCUUAUAAUAGAGGAAGUCGAGAGAUGCUAGUCUUCGGUUCGACUGAUCCAUGCUCAAUUCUUGUGAAUUGAUCCCAUCUCCUAAGGAUUUCGGUCCGGGGGCAUUGGUCUUCUCCUUGUCAGCAUCGUCAGUCCUCCUUUGUCUGGUAGCUAGGGUCCGACAAACCCCAACCACUCGCUAACGCCACUACUAUAGCCUCCUACAAAAACACCUACCCUAGGUGAGCCUUCUCCUAGCUUAUUCAGCAUGCCAGGCUUCUCCUCCUACCUGGAGGGGCUGCCAUGUGGGCUCGGAGCCUCCACUUCAUGGGCUUAGUGCAGUUCCUUGUCCUGAUGUGUCAUGCCCCAUCCAUGACCCUACCGUAGAGUAGCCGACAAUACCUUGUGGGAUGGGAACAGGAUGACGGUGUGGUGCUUCUAUAUGCCUGUCAGACUCUAACCGAUUGAUUGAUUCUACAAUUGUCUUUUGGCCUUGCACGAGAUGAAUGAUUACCCUGAGCCAAAUAAGCCCCUAAGCAAGACAUGGCCUAGAUGGCUACAAGUCAUCUUUUGCUGAAGAAGAUAUGAUUCAUAGUGUGUGCACGAGCACACCUAAUGGCAUGAUGGGUGUAUCCUUCAAGCCUUUGGCUAAUUUGGAGAAUUAAUUAGGCUAUUAGCCAGAAUUUUGUGGCCUUAAUAGGGACUUAACAUACCCCCUUUGUUAGACUCUCAUCAAUACCCAUCCUAGCUAAUCGUGAUAACUCUACAGAAACAAAAACGGUGUGAAGAGCACCUAAUUUGAUAAUUAUUUACAAGAAAUAAGAUCUAGCAAGGAAUCCAUGAAGAUGAUGCCAUUAAGUAGCCAUGGUGGAUAAUUUAUUCAUGCUAAACCCUAACUAGUAUGAUUAGACUAGAUGACGGAGGGUCCACGCUUCUCCAAUGGUAAUAGUGUAUCUCUUGAGUCUCCUAAUGUUAUUCUUCACCUCCAAUUGAUGUUGUCGAUGAUUUUGUUUAGUUUUGAUAUGUCGGAGCUCAGCGACGCCAGUGACUACCACUAGAGCAUCACUCUCCAAUUCAUACAAAAUGACAAGCAAUCCUUUGAAACAUCACACGAUAUAUCCAAAUGUCAUAGAAACUUUCUAUGACACAUCUACCACAUUGAAAGAGCACUGGUGUGCCUCAUCGUCGAAGGUGAUAAAGCGACCAUCAAUCUAGCGCCAAUAGUGAUCCAGUCAUGCUAGAACAAGAAAACUUAAUAACUUCUUGCCAUCGUAAGACCAAAAUUUAGCUAGCUAGCGAAACAAAGAUGCGAAUGUUGAACACCACCACCCCAACCAAUCGCACUAACCUUGUAAAAACAAAAUUGACAUGAACACUAGUUUUGAUGGCUAGAGAAACAUUCAAAAUGGAUGAGAAACAAGAUCUAGUGAGUACUUGAUGAAGACGAUGUCAUCUGGAAGCCCACAUAGAACAAUUUUUUAUCUAAACCCUAACUAGCAUGACUAGAUUGGAUGACAGAGGGACCUCCCUCCUCCUGGUAAGGUUGUUGCAGGGGAUGGAGGUGGGAGACUAUAGUGGCGGCAUUGGAGAAGCCCUAGGUAGUGGCUAUAGGAGGCACCGACCAAAAGGCGUUGCAAGGUACGGUCAUGAUGUCACUACUACAUGAUUUUCUUUUGUGCAGUGUUUCAAAUUUGGCCUCUAAGGCGCACGGCCUGGUUGCCUGCCUCGGUUAUUUGAGGGUGGUCAAGCCAAGCCAUCAACCGUCUUGGUUAAUCAUUAACUAAGACUAUCAUUCUAAUAUAACCACGUUGGUUAAUGCCUAUUAUCUGAGGUGGUCAUUGUAUUAUAAAUGCCUCGGUUAAUACUUAUUAACCGAUCGAGGCAGGAAAAUUAAGGCAUCCACCUCAGUAAAUCCAUUAACAGAGUUGGGCAUACUAUGAAGGCCAUCUUCGAAAAUAUUGGCCGAGAAAAGCAGCCUAUUUGGCCCGAUAUCAUGCUUGUAGUAUAUAAGCGGGAGUUAGGGCUUCAUUCUCCCUUAUCCUCUCUCUCUCUCUCUCUCUCUUAGUUCUCUCCCUCCCUCAUACAGCACCCGGCCACGCUCUCCCUCCCCAAACGACAUGCCGCUCUCUCCCUCGGAUCCAACCAACCCAACUCUCUCCCUCCCUCCCUCCCUAGACGGUGCGCUGCUCUCCCUCCCUUAGAUCUACGAUGCGGUGCACCCGUUCUCCCUCCCUCUUCGGGCGUGGCGGCGGUGAUGUCCUCAUGCGCAGGCUUAGCAGCAGUAACGAAGGCCUCGUGUAUGGGCUCGGUAGUGGUGAUGUCCUCAUGGGGCGGUGGCGCGUGGAGCUACCCGCACCGGCAUUGGCGCCUCAUGGGGUAGUGGAUCUCGGCGAUCCUCUCUCUCCUCCAAGAACGACGAUCCAUCCCUAUCCUCCGAGCACGGCGACGCCUACCUCUCCUCUGAUCGGCUGUGGCGGUGCAAAUCUUCCCACCACUGAGUGGAUCCCCAGCAGAGGCUACGAGUGUGCAGAUCCGGCCACCACCGAGUGGAUCUAGCCACCAGAGGCUGCGGGGGAGCAGCACGGUGAUGCAUGGUACCGGGCUUAGUGCGCUACUGGAUUCAGUGGGUUUUUUUAAUUUCGUAAAACUAUUAAUCGUGGUGGGCUACCUAACUCAAGCGCCUCGGUUAAUAGCACUAACCGAGGUGGUUUUUGCAACCACCUCGGUUAUGACCAUGAUUAACCAUAACCUUUAGUUUGAGGCGGUUACAAAAACCGCCUUAGUUAAUCCUUUUUGUCUACCAUAGUUAAGAUUUUUGUAGUACUGCGUCAUUUCAACUGAUAGGAUUUGAAAAAAAAUAGUCAUGAUCUGAAUUUCACUAUGUAAAUUAAACACACACCUCUAGCUUCAUCAGUGGACCAGAGCGCGGACGUGUGGGUCCAAAAAACUAUAUGACAGGAGGAGGAAGACACGCGCAGAUAGUAGUGCCUUCAGCUUCGUCUCCGUGCCUCGUCUUGCUUUAAGUAGUACCUCUUCCAAAAAAAACUAUCAUUACAGGUGAGAAAUCACAUAGAGAUGGGGUAGUGCUGAAAUGUUAUAAUAACGUACGUGUUCAAGUCAUGAAAUCUUAAGAAAUUCCUAAAUAAAUAAAUAAAUAAAUAAAUAAAUAAAGGUACGUAAUAUGACUGACGAUCGAACGUCCUGUUUGCAGAACAGAGGUAGUUGAAAUAAGCAUAUACUAGUAUAUAUAUGUUUGGCCGGUGGUUGUCGGCGGUCGAGAUUCUUGUGGUCGGAGAUCGCUGCUGCUGGUGGUCUUCCCAGCUGCCGCCGCCGGCGCGACGUACGCCGCGCCCGCGUCUCCAUCUCUGCAUUGCAUCGUUACCAAUAGCUAGCUAGCUAGCUAGCUAACUAAUCAUCAGCCACAGCAGCAGAUAUAUUCUAUUCGGUCUCUUCUCUAUUACAGUGUAUAUGAUCCUUCUGUAUAUCACAUAUAUUUAUAUAUCUAUAUAUCACACUUGGUACGAUCCAACCAAAGAACAAGCAGAUCAAUAUCUCUGAUUCGUCGGUUACCCACGGCAUGCAUGGAUCUCAAAAGUAAUCUUCUGCUCAAUCUCUAGCUGCUUGCUCUGUCACCGGCCAUGCAUGCCAUUCAUGCGUGCAUGGCACCACAUGAGGAAAUGUUGUGCAUGCAUGCAGCUGUACAGUAACAGUAAGGGCACUGGACUUUUAAAUCUCAUUACAGUACAGAUUAGCUAGCAAGGAGAGAGGAGCAGGAGCUGCUCCAGAUGGAGCUAUAGCUCAGCUCAUUAUGUACGGAAGUAGAGUACGGCCAUGUCUGCUGCCCACUGCACGUCUGCACCAAUCACCAUUACAUGGAUGCAUUGUGUACCAGCAGCACUAGCUAGCUAGAUCGUAGCUUACGAGAGCAGUAUAGUACGUACCAACGAAUACAAGGCUAGCAAACGCCUGUACUUGCAUUCGUAUUACUCGUUUGGUGUCAAGUACGUGGUGGCGCGCCUUACAAUUACCGCCGGCCGGCCGGCCGUAUCUGUCUAGUACAGAAUUUAUCAUCGAUGAUCUUAUCUGUAUUGUUUUUCUUUACUAUAUGAAGAAUGAAGUGAUGCACCGAUCUGAUGAGAUACUGCAUGUAUGGUUUAUUCUGAGCUUAAUAUGCAUUGCAGUGCAUUCUUUGGUUCAGGGCCACUUCACUGUAAAACGUUGAACAUGCUUGUCAUUGCCCUAGCCAGAAAAAAGUAGCUGAUCUGAUGAGCUAUACACUCGAUCAGUGAGGCAGGCAAGCAGAAAAAAAAUCGGCGGAUGGUCUCUUCAAAAUUAGGUAUGCUACCUAUAUAUCGAUCAUCACAGUGCAACAACCAUGUUAAUUUUAAAAUUAGAUUCGUUUCCUCUCUCUCUCUUUCAUAUAGCUUAUUAUAAACAACAAACCAGCCUUUUAAAGUUCAAGGAUAUUUUUAUACUGCUAGCUAGCUAGUGGUUAUAAUAGUUAUGAAUGGUUGGAAAUCUUCUUCCUCUUAUUAGAAAAAAAAAGAAAAAGAAGAGGAGGAAAAAAUAAAGAAUGGUUGUUCGAUCGAGAUGAAUGCAUGCAAGCAUAUGCUUCCCGACGUUAACAAUUAAUUGGGCAACAAUACAAUGCAAAUGCAAUGCAAGAUAAUGAUAGUACUAAUGUACUGCAUGAAGAGAAAGUCAAUGGGUCCAUCAAGUGCAAAUAAUCCAUCCCGUGGCAAACUAAAUUUGCAGCGUAGUACAACAAAUGCCAGAGAGAGCUAGCUAGGAGAAGUACAGCACACACAGAGUGGCGAACGAACGAACGAACGAACUUGCCAUGCAUCCCAUGCAUGCAUGUAAAAGUACGUGCUACGUACAAAACGACUCCCCUUCCGACAACAUACUUGCCCAGAGUGAAUUCAGAAGAUUAAUUUUGAUCGGCGCCAGGAGAAAAACAUGCACCUUACAGCAGGUACGUGGUGCGUACGUGCUGCUGUAGUUUAAUUAGUACUAUACGUACAUACGUACUCACUCUAUCUGCUGGACUAUCUACACUGGAUCACCGACGCAUGCAUGAUGCAUUCAUUGGGCGAUACUCCUACAAAUUUGUAAAUAAGCCUAUCGAAUUUGUCUAUGUUUUUCUUAUUAGCUGGUGAAGGAGUGAUAAUGACUAGAUGCAAUGACUGUGUUUUGAAAAAAAAAACAAAGAGAUAAUGACAAGGUGACUAGGGCGAACAAUAAUACUCUCUAUGUCCCCUAUUAUAUAUAGGCCUCUUUUGGAUCAUGGGAAAAAAAAUUGGAAAAACGUAUGAUGAUUCACAUUUCUAUGGAUUGUGUGCACAGAAAAUCGCUUUCACGAAAAACAUAGGAAACUUUUCUUUGUAUGUUCGAUUCCAAAGGAAAAUCAAGGGAAAGAGACAUCCACUUUUUUCCAAAAAAAAAGAAACAUCUACUCCAAUCUCAGUGUUUCUUGGUUUCAGUGUUUUUCCUGCAGUUCAUCCAAACAAACUACUCCUAGAAAAUUCUUAUCUUUUCCAUUUUUUUAUACAUAUAUUUCCUAUCCUAUUCCUGCGUAAACGCGUUCCAAAGAGGACCUAUAACAUAGGGGAUUUUAGGUGAAUUAAAUAAAACCGCUGUCACUACUUUCCAAGACUAAACAUUUACUGUCAGCAUUCAAUCCUGUUACAUGUGCCAGUAAGAAAAAUGUCUUCAAUGUAGUAAUGUUAAAAUGGAGUUGUCUUUAAUCGAAGUGUAGUACUUACAUGUCCUAAAACUUCUAGCACCCCUUAGGGCACUCACAAUGUAGACUCUAUCAUAGAGUCUAAAGUUAUUUAUUAUCUCGAACAAUGUGGAUUUAAAGUCUAAAUAAAACUUGUAGUCUUAUUUUUUCUACCUCUUUCUUUAAUAAAUAUGCUGCCACAUCAGCCAAAUAUCAUAAAUAAUAUGUAAUUAAUUAUCUUAGACUCUUUAAUAGAGUCUUGCAUUGUGAGUGCCCUUCGAUGGACCAUUAGGCCAGUCUCAAUGGAGGUUUCACCAGGAUGUCAUGCACAUUUAUUAGAGCGCCAUAUCAGCAAAACUGUACUUUUUGCAUGAAACGAAGAGGAGAGAGAAGGAAGUAGUUUCACCAUGGUGAAACUCCGCUAGCGUUGUUUCCCAUGCGGUGAAACAGGAUGAAAUCCCCACUGAGGACUAAAUCGUUUCACCAUCUUGCAUGUGAUCCAAUCAUUUUGCAGUAAUUAAAUGCUUUGUCCAGCCUAGGAAACAUCAAGGUGAAACUUAUGCAUUGUGGAGGUUGUUUCAUUGUUCGUUUCAUUGAUGCUCUGUCAGCAGAUUUGUUUUGGAAACAGUGCAAUGAAACGGACCAUUGAGACUGGCCUUAUUAUUUUAUUCAGAUGGUGUAUUCCUAGUUUUAAUAGUUUAAGAGCUACUUCUUCAAUUUCAAAUUGUAAGUCAUUAUAAUUUUUAUAGAUAUAUAAAAAAUCUACUAUAUAUCUAGAUAUAAUAAUAUCUAAGUAUACAAUAAAAAUUAUGUACCUAGAAAAACUAGAAUAUAAACUAGAAUGACUUCUAUAUAGAUUGAGUAGUAACACGUACACACCAGCAAUACGUCAGGUUGCUGGUGAUGUACCUCCAAUGCAGUGGGAAGCACAGUGGAUUAACAUCGAGGAAGUAUCCUAUAAAUGCAAUGAUAACUCAGUUGAACGGCUAACUACUCGAUCGGCUAUCAGGGCCCCAUAAAACUUGACACCAGCAGGAAGCACCAACCAUAAGGGGAACUCCCAAAUAAAACAGGAGAAAAUCUGGCAAUGCCAAAACACAAUAUGUCUUCUAAAGAAAUAAUUCACGCUAUGAAUUUCAAAUGAAAGACCAAAACCUUCCACGUCGUCAUCUUUUUUUUUUUGCAAAACCUAGUAAAAACCUAGACACUUCUAUACAAGCAUGUACUCUUAACCCUACGAAUCUACACAUACACACACUACUCUUAUCGAGCGCCUUCAAAAAACUGAAUUAUAUAUAUCAAUAAAUCUUGAGAUUAAUAAAGUCACGACAUAUGUAUUGUUAUCGAUGGUGUAACACCCAAAAUUUAAUUUUCAAUUAAUAGGGUUUAAUGAGCAUUAUUUAAGCAGUUUUUGUGGGCAUUUAAUCUAGUAAAUAAAAUAUUUUUGUCAAAAUUAAAAUUUAACAUAAGAUUAGAAACUUGUUUAUGCAUUCAUGCCGAAGAAUAUUUUAUUUUGUAUUGUUUGCCUCUGGCUUGAAUUUAUUUGCAUUCAAAAUUUUAUUUGAAAAAGGUUUAUUUUGAAAAAGAAAUCAGAAAAAAAACCCCAGCCGAACCCCCCUCACCCCGCGCGCGGCGCACUCCUUUCCGCAGCCCAGUCAACCCCCGCAGCCCGCUGGCUUUUCCCCCACGCCCCGGCCCAUUCUUUCGAGGCCCAACUGCGCGGCCAGCGCUCUCUCACUCUCUCUCACUGACGAUCGGGGCCCGCGUGUCAGCGCGUCACCUUCCCCUUCCUCGAGUCCGAGCAGGACCCGAUUCCAUGCCGAGCUCGAUCCCAGGAAAUUCGCGAUUUCCUUGCCGUUUUCGCGCAAACUGACCCCUAUAAAUCCCCUAGGGCAACCCCGCGGCCUCCUCUUUGCUUUUGGGUCGCCAAAACCGAGUCCCCGUGCCUUGCUUCGUGCGUUUUGGAUCUUGCCGCGAGCCACACCGAGCCCCCGCCACGACCCGACCUCCCUGUCCUCUCUCGGCCCGAGCGAAGGCUCUAGGUGAGUCCGCGGUGAGCUCCUCGUCCCUCUGGUGUUUUUCCUUUGGCUUUUGGUGCACGGUUGCGAGAAGGCCGAGAACGCCGGCGAGGUCAUCCAUGGCGCCGCCGUGGAGAGCUCUGCUCCGGCCGGCCACCGGCCACCCCUUUCCCCAGCGCGCCUGAGCCGUCCGUUUGCAGAUCAAAGGCGCAGAUUAGAUCAUACCCCUUCGGGGUAACUUUUGUUAAAGAGCCCCUGGAAAAGUUGAGAUUAAACCCGCAGUCCAAAACAGGUUUCCCAAAAUACGCUUUCUCCUUUCGGAAUACGUAAACCCGCCGGUUGAUUCUGAAAUACGCUUUCGGUUAUUUACAAGUUUGCCAUUGAAAUGGUUUUGGUCAUAAAAUGCUCAUUUUAACUCCAUUUUUGUCCAUUCAAAUUUCGUUAGAUUCGUAUUCGUGAACUCUACAUGUUAGAAAUAUUAGUUUACUAAUUUGAAACUUUUUAAUAUCCUGGUACUAUUUAAUUAAUUAUUUCUCUAUAGGAAAUCUUGAAAAAUGCAUAACUUCUCCGUUUUAAUUCCGAUUUUCGUGAACUUUACGUUUGUGUGAUCGUAGCGCUGCGUAGAAUAUAUUAGUAAACUUUUAUAUUGGUUUUACUAUUGUUUGGUGUAAUGUUCUAAUUAUAGUUUGUUUGCUUCGUGUAUGAUUGUCUACAUUGGAUUGCAUGUUGUUGAUUGAUGUUUGGGAAUAGACGGUGAGCCGUACGUUGGUGAUCAAGACCAAGCUUUUGAGGACCAGCAGGCUCAGGAGAGCUUUGAUCAAGGCAAGUAUAACUUGGGAUCAUCCUUGUUACCUAUUCACUUAUAACUACACAUAUAUAUCAUAUGCAUGCUAUCACCUUGUCGACCUUAGCAAAAUCAUAGAUGAUUGUUACAUGGAUUCCUUGCUACCUACUUGAUAUGCAUUUGGUGUAGAUGUGCUAGUGCUUGAUAUAAUCCAUGAUCUUGUAAGAUGAUUAAUAUCUAUGCAAUGAACGGUAAAAGAAUGACAAAUAACUAUAUGAGAUCUUGUCUGUAAGUGAUCACCGGGACAACAGUGCAACCAUGAGAGCUAUAAUGGCUCUGGCUUUAGCUCAGUAUGAAGACCUUUUCUAGCUUGUUAGAGGUUACCCGAAAGGGCGGAGGGGCUGAACCGUUUUGGGUAUAGUGCGAGCCCCUGUCCCUAUGUGUAUAGGCUGCGCGUCAUUGUGCCAUUCGGAAGGGGGUUAUCUAUAUCUGCGCGCAAAGAAAACCUUGCGGCCCUAACAUGUUAGACGAACUUUUGAAAGGCUUCAUAGUGAUCCCUGCCGACCUUCCUUGGUAGUGGGCUAAGAGGUCGACGGGCCUCGGGCGAAAGGGUAAAUCAUGACUCAUGGGUAAAGAUGUACAACCUCUGCAGAGUGUUAAAACUAGUAUACUAGCCGUGCUCACGGUUAUGAGCGGCCUUGGGGGUUCCUGCUGCGACGACGAUGAGCUUGUUAAGUUGUUAUGUUCAUUUUAUUAUCGUUUAUGAUAUGAAUUAAUUAUGUUUACAUUUGAUCAUGUGAUUAAUGGAUUAUUACUGCUACCUUGACAUUUGCUAUUUAGUUAUGAACAUGCUAUCCACUAUUAAAAGCUAAAUGCAGUCAAACCAGUGUCAGCUAUUUGAGCCUCAUGAACCCCUGGUUAUACUUGUUGAGUACGAUAUGUGCUCACUCUUGCAAUUUCCCAACACCUCAGGAUAUGAUAAUGAAGAUGACUGGAAUGAGGAUUACCGUUAUGAGUAUUAGGUUUGGAGUCAACCAGUCAACAAUGUCCCUAUGUGGAGCUUCCGUCGAGAGCGUGGUUUACUUUAUGCUAUCAUUUUUGUAUGAGACUAUGUGAUUUACUAUGUUCCGUUAUGUAAUAAACACUGCAAUGGUACAUUUGAGAUUUGUCUAUUUAUAUGUGCGACUGUUUCUGUGGCACAUAUGAGUCUUUUAUGUAUCCUAUUUUGUUCUUAAAAUAUGGGUGUGACAGAUGGGCACAUCGUCUACCCACACCAAAAGAGUUAAUGAUGAUUAUUGGUGCCUCGUGUGUCACACUCCUAAUUCAUGAGCCAUUUUGUUUCUUGCAUUGCUCGUAAACCUUUAGGUUUGACUCGAUUAACGCAACGACGCUCAUCACCCAUGCAUCCAUGCUUCUGUGUCAUCUCCAUGUGUACAGCGUGGAUCAUGCAUGACUUCACCAACCACAUCUCGAUUGCCUGACACGAGAGUAUCGAUCACUUUUUGCCCGUAACAAUAAUCAUGUUCGUUACUGCGACUCGGUAUCUCUCCACAUUUGAAAUUCAAAUUCAGCUACUCUCUCUGUCCUAGAAUCCAUGCUAGUCAAAUUUUUUUAAAAAUUUAAUCAAUUUUAUAGAAAAGAACAUCAAUAUCUAUGACAUAAAAUAAGUAUUUUAUAAAAAUAUAUUAUAAAUCUAAUGGUAUUAAUUUGGUACUAUAAAUCUUACUCCCUCCGUCCACGAAAGAGUCAAUUUCUAGAGUUGUCCUAAGUCAAACUUUUUAAACUUUGACCAAAUUUCUAGAAAAAAAUGCUAAGUUUUAUAGUAUCAUCAUAGAAUAUAUUUUCAUAUAAUGUGUAUUUUAUAUUAUAGAUGUUGUUACUCUUUUCUAUAAAGUUAGUCAAACUUUAAAAAGUUUGACUGGCACGGAUCCUAAGAAUUGAUUCUUUCGUGGACGGAGGGAGUAGCAUUUUUUUCUAAAAAAUCGGUCAAAGUUUUAGAAGAUUGACUUAGGACAACUCUAAAAGUUAAAACUUUGGACAGAGAGAAAGUAUCCUAUAAUUAAUACGAGACACACACACACCUCGGCACGGUUAUUCAAUCUAUCGGAAUGCGUGUUCAAAAAUCUGCAGGGCCGGCCUUUCAAAAGCUAAUUAUCGUGUGGUAAGCAUGAUUUGAUCCAGUAAGCAAAUGGUCCAUGGUGGUACGGCUCAAUAGCUUUACGAGCCUUAACUCGCACACAGCUCAAGCAACAGUAGCUUUAUUUGGUAAAGAUGGUUUAGCUUCCCAUACAAACUUUGGGAUUAAAUCACCCGUCUUAUACAAGUUUAGAGUUUCUUUCUUUAGAAAACAAUGCAAGUUUGAAGACAGUGAUCGAUCGAAGCACGUCAGUGGAACUGUCGCCAAGACCUUGGCCACUUCGCUAGCUACAGAGCUUUGCUGUCUGGUAGAUAGGAAAAAAAACGCAGAAGCUUCACACAGCAAGCUGGCUUAUAUGUGAAGGAAAACCUUUGCCUAGUAUCAGAGAGUUAAUUAAAUCUAUAAACCUUGCAUCUCUAAAGCAUCAGGUGGUAAUUAAAUCUGUAACAACUUGCAUCUCUGAAACUUUCAUACGCCCCAGCUACCAUGGAAGUAUGGAACGAGCUUCUUCUUGCAUAUAUACAUGAUACCCUCUAAUACUUUUGUUCACCUUCGUGUGAAAGAGUUGCUCAAGGAUCCAUGCAUAUAUUAGUAAGUGAGCAACAGUAAGUGCAUAGAACACACAAUUUCUCUCUCUAACAUCAGCAAGAUGAGAAACAGACAGGCCAUGGGCAAAUUUUAAGGUGCUACAUGCGUAUUGCAUAGGAAGCCAGCUGUCACAAAUUAAAGAACAGAGGACACAUGAGCAGAGCAUGGAGGCGACAUGCCAAACGAAGAACAGUGUAAGAAACUGUACCGGAGGGAGUAACAUUUUUUUUAUAAAACUAGUUAAACGUGGAUGUUUGACUCCAUGGAAGUGAUUUUUUUUUCAGAAUGGUGGGAGCAGUUUGGUACUAGGGCUACAUCUACCAGUUCUCUAUAUCUGUUUCUUUUUUUUGUUUUUUUUUUGUUUUUUUUUUUGAAAAACUUCAGUCCUGUAUUUGUUAAUUUGCUGGUCCUGGCUUGGCUUGAGUGCAUGCGCCAGCGCGAGCUAUGUGCCUUGGUCGGUAUAGUAGGAGUUCCAAGAUAUAUAUAAAUAUAUGUAUAUGGUAUAAAUACUAUCAAUAUAUAGCAAAGCAAGCAAGAUACGCCUGCGCGCACGCAUACACACGCCGCUGUAUUGGAGCACUCCACCUGCACGCCUCUCUUUCCGGAUUCCAACCUUUAGCCUUUGUACAUUGCCUUUAUAGAAGAUAAAAUCUCUUAUUACGGAGGUAGAAAUUUUUAGGAGCAGUCUCUGUAGAUGAUCAAUAGGAGGGUCGCAAAAAUGUCCAUCUCUAUUAAUCAUUUAUAGAAGUGAAUAUCCUACAGAGACCGUCUCUAACAGAGAUGUAUGUCCUAAAGCAAUCGACUCUGUUAAUUGGUUAACUAGGCUGGGCUUACUAAAAUGUUAGUCACUAAAAAUGUCUAUUAACAGAGGUGAGCGUCCUACAGAUCUAUCUCGAAAAUUAAUUAACAGAGGUGGAUGUAUGCCUCUAGAAAUAGUUGCAUCAAAAAUAGUUUAUACUUUUUCAUAUUUCAGAUGAAGAAUAACCUUAUACCGAAAUUGUAUAUCUCGACGUGGCCUACAACUUUAUAGUUGAUAAUUUUUUAUUCUAAACUUUUAUUUCCAAAAAAUAUUUUAAUUCUCAUAUUUUGAAAUUUAUUUUAAAAAACUAGGAUGUUGAUACAGUCUAUACCAAAGUUGAAGUUCUCAAUCCAAUUUACAAAUUUGUAGUUGAACUUCUUUUCCAUUUGAAGUUGUCUAGAGUCCCACAUAUGUAUUUAAAGUUCUUAGAUUUUGAAAUUUAAAAUUUUUAAAUGACCUUUUCUUCUUAUUGUAUGUUUAAUGAAAUAACCUAUAUAUAUUAAUAAAUUGUGAAAAUUUCAGUCUGCCAAAAUUUUCUUAUGCCCCAUCUACCCAGCCCGGAAUCGGUCUCCGGCUUGAAUCGGUCUCUCGGUCCGUUUAAAGCUUGGAGGAGAAAAAAAGAAAAUAAAAUAUUUUCUAGGGUUUCCAAUGCAAAAUCUUCUUUUACCUUUUGAUCCGUGGCCUCGGCCGUCGUAGAAAAGUAAAAAGAAAAUAAAUUUUUUUCAAGGUUCCCAAUGCAAAAUCUCCUAUAUUCUAUUAAUUUUCUUUUCUUUUAUUCUUUAAUAUAGCUGAAAAUUAAUAAAUGCAUAGUAAUUCAUAGAAAAUCUAAAAAUUACAAAACAAAUUUUAUUCAGCUCUACAUAUGUUGAUCCAUACAUUAAACAAAAAAUAGGUGCAAAGUGUUUGUCCUAUUAAUUUAUUUUUCUUUUAUUCUUUAUUUCGGCUGAAAAUUAAUAAAUGCGUAGAAAUUCAUAGAAAAAUCUAAAAAUUACAAAACAAAAUUUGUUCAGUUCCACAUAUUCAGAUCCAUGUAGUAAAGAAAAAAUAUCAUAAAUUUUAGUAUAUUUUUUUACUGAAGAUGCUUGCCUAUGCUUUUUAGUGUAAAAUUGAAAUUGUAGUUAUCUUGCUCCAAUUAUUAUAAAAAUUUUAUGGUAGCCUAUUUAAUGUGACGCUUGAUUUGUGGUAAAAGUUUUAGCACCAUUCCUUCAUAUCUCACUGAUUUACUAAUUUACCUAAAUUUAUGCUUGCUAAAUAGUUUAGCAUCAAUUUAAGUAUGUAAAAAUAUAAAAAAAAUAUGCUUCCACUACCUUUGCACAAUGUGUUGUUAUAUCAUAUGACACUUCAUAAGCCCAUGUGUUUAUAAUCUACAUAUAUUUAACUGAUAUAUCAUAUUUUAUAGGAAUCCUAAUCUAAAUAAAAAAAUAAAGCUAGCAACAAACUUUUCAUGUUUUAAUAUAAUACUAUUUUUAUUAUUAAAUAAAUAUGUCUCCAAGCUACAUAAUAUUGUAAAUAUUAACUAUCUCAUACCAUAGAUGUCAUGGUUAUCAAUAAAAUAAAUUAUGGACUUUAAUUUUUAUAAAAAAGAUAAAUAUAAAUAGAUAUGUAACAUUAUGUCAUCACUUUUUAUGACUAUUUGAUGUUUUUCUCCCGUUGCAACGCACGGGCAUAUUUGCUAGUGAAAUAACCUAUUUCUCCUUGUUAGCAUCUUGGGUAUGGUUUAACCAUAAAUGAGGAGGAAGUUGUGCAGAUUUUGGUUAAACCAUACCCAAAGUACUCCCUCCGUCCCUGAAAAAAUCAAUUCCUAAGAUUCGUGCCAGUCAAACUUUUUAAAGUUUGACUAACUUUAUAGAAAAGAGUAACAACAUCUAUAAUAUAAAAUAUACAUUAUAUGAAAAUAUAUUCUAUGAUGAAUCUAAUAAUACUAAUUUGAUACUAUAAAUCUUAGCAUUUUUUUCUAGAAAUUUGGUCAAAGUUUAAAAAGUUUGACUUAGGACAACUCUAGAAAUUGACUCUUUUGUGGACGGAGGGAGUAGUAAGUAAUGAAGGAACUAAUCCGAUUAUUAGGAAUCUAGUUAUUAGCUAUUUUCAACAAAUCCCAAAACUCCAAACUACUAGUUCGGAAAACCUAAACUCCUAAUAACUGACCAAACCCUCCUACACGAUUAGUUAGUUACAAAAGCUUUUUGACAAGAUUACUCGCUGCAAUUUACCGGGUAAACCAAAAGCCUAUAUAUAUAUAUAUAUAUAUAUAUAUAUAUAACAGGAGAGGUACCUGAUACGAGAGGUUGGAGCCCCCUAGCUAGCCCUCACGCUGGAUCCGCCACUAAGAAAGAAGAAUCAAAUCUACACGCCACACAUCACAAAUCAUGGUAGUAGUAGUGAUGACUAGAGAGUAAUCCAAGUUGGCAUGAAUAAAUGGUUCACAAAAGUCAAUCUAAUUAUUUCCUAACCCCACAAAUUGAAAUCGGGGAGAUCAGUGAACAGGGACACAUAAUCCCAGCUUUUUCUCAGAAUCAAAUUAAAGAUGAUUUUGCCACCAUCAAGAGAGAUGUGUACACGUCGCAUAUGGUCCUGUAGCCGGUGCGCGACGUAUUUGCUGGCAUGCAUACACACUCCUACGUACACUCCUACUGUACGUACGUGGUCGGGCGGCCAUGUGUAAUACCCGAUUUUAAGGACAAAACCAGAUAUGCACCAUAUGUGAAUUUUAGAAGUCAAAUCUCACAUAUAGCUACAAAUAAGGGUUAAUAUCAAAGAACAAUGCAUAAAUAUAUAACGUACAUAAUAUUAAAGAGAUAACCUUUAAUAGCAAACAACGGAUAGACAACUUUAAACUUCGGGUAUUAACUCCUCUCCACAGGAUCCAACUGACUGGUUGAUCACAAGCCCAAAACUUCUCCUGAGGUGUGGGGGGAAAUUGCAAGAGUGAGCACAUAUCGUACUCAACAAGUAUAACCAGGGGUUCAUGAGGCUCAAAUAGCUGACACUGGUUUGACUGCAUUUCGCUUUUAGUAGUUGAUAGCAUGUUUAAUCAUUGGAUAGCAAAUAUCAAGGUAGCAUAAAUAAUCCCAUAACCACAUGAUCAAUGUAUACAAGAAUUAAGAAUAACACAUAUAAACAACAUAAUAAACCAUCAUUUAUUAUCAUUAUUCACAUUCAUCAGUGUCCAUCUAUUCCGUCAGUUUUCCGGGCCGCCCGUAUCCGUGGGCACGGCUAGUAUACCAGAUUUAACACUCUGCAGAGGUUGUACAUCUUUACCCAUGAGUCGUGAUUUACCCUUUCACCCGAGGUGAUCAGCCUCUUAACCCACUACCAAGGAAGGUCGGCAGGGUUCACUAUGAAGUCUUUCAAAGGUUCGUCUAACAUGUUAGGGCCGCAAGGUUUCCUUUGCGCGCAGAUAUAGAUACCCCCCUUCCGAAUGGCACAAUGACGCGCAGCCUAUACACAUAGGGACAGGGGCUCGCACUAUAUCCAAAACGGUUCAGCCCCUCCGCCCUUUCGGGUAACCGCUAACAAGCUAGAAAAGCUUACUCAUACUUGACUAAAGCCAGAGCCAUAUAGCCCUCAUGGUUGUACGAGUUGUCCCAGCUUUUGCCAAGGGAUAAGUCCUUAUGGAGGGUCAAGAUCAAUCCAGCAAAAGCCAGAGUUCUUUCCACCCUUUAUAUUCAAGUUGCUAUAAAGCUUAUUUUAUUGUUUAUUGCAUAUUCAAUAUUCAUGUUACAAGAUCAUGGAUUAAUAAUCAAGCACUAGCAAGAACUACCCAAAUGCAUAUCCAAAUAGGUAACAAGGAAUUCAGGAUAACAAUCAUCUAUGAUUUUGCUAAGGUCAUCAAGGUGGACACAUGCAUAUGAUAAAUAUUGUAUUAAUUGUGUAUAGGUAACAAGGAUAAUCCCCAGUUAUACUUGCCUUGAUCAAAGCUCUCCUGAGCCUGCUGGUCUUCAAAGACUUGAUCUUGCUCACCAACGUAUCGCUCACCGUCUAUACCCGAUCAUCAAUCAACAACACGCAAUCCAAUGUAGACAAUCAUACACGAAGCAAAUAAGCUAAAAUUAGAACAAUACACCAAACAGUGGUAAAUAAAAGAUAAAAGUUUAUAAAAAUAUUCUACGCAGCGCUACGAUCACACAAACGUAAAGUUCACGAAAAUCGGAAUUAAAACGUAGAAGAUAUGAAUUUUCUAAGAUUUCCUAUAGGUAAAUAAUUAAUUAAAUGCUACUGCAGAAAUAAAAAGUUUCAAAACAGUAAACUAAUAUUUCUAACAUGUAGAGCAUAAAAUUACGAACCUAACGCAAUUUGAAUGGAUAAAAACGGAGUUAAAAUGACCACUUUAUGGGCAAAACUAAUUCAAUGGCAGUUUUGUAAAUAUCUGAAAACGUCUUUCAGCACAGCCCGGCCGGUUUCCAGCUCCGGCACGGUGGCGCGCCAUGGGCGCCACCCGGAGGCUCGUCGGCGCACAGUGACUUCCCGUUUCCGAGCACCGUUUCGAGAAAGAAAAACUCCGGGAUGACGAGCAGCUCACCGCGACUUUACCUAUGCACUUGGUUCGGCCCGAGGUGGAGCAAGGAGAGCUUACCGCGGUGGCGCUAGGAUUUGAGCACGGCGAGAUCCGAAAGAACGUGACAGAGGCGUCUAGGGCUCGGAUUAAAGAGCUUGGGGACGAAAAGGGGCAUGCGGGGUUGAUUUAGGAGUCUUAUAGGGGCAUACCGCGCGGAUUUGGCAAGGGUAGCAAGGAAUCCCGAGAUUUCUCGGAUUUCCGUUUGGAGACCAACGAGAAACCCGGCUCGGUCACGUUGGAGAAGAAAGGAGGGGGAAAGGAGUCGCUGCCAAGCGGGCCCGUGCUGUCAGCGAUAGGAGAAGGGAGGGAAGGGAAGCGGGCCGCGCGCGGUUGGGCCGGGGAGUUGGGCCUCGGCUUGGAUUCCAGGAGCUUUCUCUUCCUUUUUUUUUAUUUCUUUUCUGUUUCUUUUUCCAAAUCCUUUCCAAAUAGAAUUUUGAAAGCACAAAUUAUUUCUAACCAACAGAAAU